RNAcentral lists this long non-coding RNA (59974 nucleotides) under Hordeum vulgare. RNAcentral's name for it is "long non-coding RNA (HVUL_LNC011207)". The record is from RNAcentral. Lineage: Eukaryota; Viridiplantae; Streptophyta; Magnoliopsida; Poales; Poaceae.
AUCCUGUGAUGCUCAGCCUCAGAGUAGCCGAGGACCACCACCUCACUCUUAUCAAAGUUAAUCUUAAGUCCAGACAUUUCCUCGAAGCAGAGCAAAAGGAACUUAAGAUUGGCAAUGUCCGAGUCCGAGCCUGAGACCAUGAUCAUGGUGUCGUCUGCAUAUUGGAGGUGUGACACCCCACCCCCCGGGAUGAGGUGACCAACCACCCCCUGGAUAUGCCCGGCUAAUCUCGCCUUAUCCAGGAUGCCGGCAAGGGUGUCCACGGCGAGAUUAAACAGCAGGGGGGAGAUAGGGUCCCCUUGCUUUACCCCCCUGGAAGCCCAAAAAAAGGGGCCUAGUUCACCAUUGAUAUUGAUGGCGGUGCUACCAGAUCGAACCAGCUGCAUAAUCCAGGUGCACCACCUCUCGUCAAAUCCGCGCCGCUGCAACACUAACCUCAAGAAGGACCAACCAAGACGGUCAUACGCCUUAUGGAAGUCCAAUUUGAGAAUGACCCCCUUCAAUCCCUUGGACGCCACCUCAUGGACAAUCUCGUGAAGGGCAAGAAUUCCGUCAUGAAUCUUCCUACCCUUCAGGAAUGCGGACUGAAGGGGGUGCGCAAUCCGUUCGGCCACAGGGGACAGACGAGUGGCGCAGACUUUAGCAAAAAUACGCGCCACCAUGUUAAUCACCGUAAUAGGCCUAAAUUGCCGAAUCUCUGCAGCCCCAAGUAGUUUGGGGAUGAGGGCAAUGACUCCAUAGUUAAUCCUGCCCAUGUCCAGAGUGCCUAUAUAGAAUUCAUGGAACAUGGGCAUGAUAACUGGGUGCACGGUCUCCCAGAAUUGCUGGAAAAAACCACCGGGAGGCCGUCUGGCCCCGGGGUCGAGCACACCUUCAUAGAAGCGAUUGUCUGGCCAACUUCCUCCGAGGAAAAUGGGAGAGUGAGUUCCGCAUUCUCCACGUCGGACACCUGAUCAGCUAGCGGCCAGAAGUCCUCACAGAGAGAGGAGCCUCCCCGCAGAUCGGCCGAGAAUAACUCCUUAUAGAAGGAGUAAAUAUGGGAUGAGAUGUCUUCCGGCUUUCCAGAACAGCAUCCCCAUCCCGGAGGAAAGGGAUGACACAUUUCCGCCUUCGGCCGUUGGCGAUGGCCUGAAAGUACGCGGUGUUUGCGUCCCCCUUGAGGAGCCAGUUCUGGCCACCUCGACGUUGCCAGAACAGUUCCUCGGAGCUGAAGAUGCCCAUGAGCUCAGCGUCGAGGGAUUAUGUCUGGAUCCAGUCAUCCGGGGACAGACCUGUACCGUCCGCCAAGUCAUCUAGGGUCUUAAUCUGGCCUAGCAAGGCCCCUUUACGGGCCCGGAGAUCAGCGCCCAAGUUAGCACCCCAGCCCUUCAUGGCCUGGCGCGCCAUCUUGGCACAGUGAUGCCAAAUGUCCACCGCACAAUAGACACGCGGCGGGGAGGCGGCAGCCCAAUGCCACUGGUCGCGGACCAACUCGCGGAAACCAGGCUGAUCCAACCAAAAAGUCUCAAAGCGAAAGCGCCGUGAUCUAGGGGGGAGCCUUCCCCCGACGAGAAGAGCAGGGGCGUAUGGUCUGAGCCAAUCUGCGUGAUGGCCCUAAGCCCGCACAGGAGGAACAUCACUUCCCACUGAGGCGACACAAAGACCCGGUCUAGAACACUCCGGACGGGGUCCGCCUGCUUGUUCCACCACGUGAACCUGGCCCCUACGCGAGCUAUCUCACGUAGCGCCAAGUCUGCAAUGCAGUCAUUAAAAAGACGCAUCUGGGGUCGAUCUACAUUCUGAGAGCUUUUAUCAGAAGCCCACCUAAUAAAUUAAAAAUCACCAGCCACCACUACAGGGGUGGUGCACCUAUCCACCUUAUUCUUUAGCUCGGCGAGGAAUUCUGCGGAGCGGGCAUGGUCUGCCGGACCAUAGACAAUAAUCACCUCCCAGCUGAGGUGGGUACGUCGGUCGGUGAUGGCCAUGCUCACAAUGAACUCCCCCCGGUCCAUGUCCUCCACCGAGAACGCCUCCUCCCGAACACCAAGCAGGAUUCCCCCAGAGUGGCCCGAUGCAGGGAGCCACUGCCAGGAGAACUGGUGGCGGGAGAGCCUCUGAAGCUCGAGCAUGCUAAAGUCCUACCGAAUCGUUUCUUGCAGCCCUACUAUGUCAAUCUCUUCUUGACGCAAAUACUCAACAAGUUGCCGCCGCCGGCCAGGGAGGCCGAAGCCCCUAAUGUUCCAACAUAGGAGCUUCAUUUAACAAUCUCGCCUGGAUUUCUAGGCCCCGCAAGCGGGGCCGAACUAGCCCGCCCGUCAACCUCGAGGCGGGGGAGCGCCUUAGAUGGACGACCCCGGUGUCCCCGAGAAGAGGGGACAUCGGAGGUCGCCGGGCCAGAGGAGGGAGCUCCGGGGCCUGACACUCGCUCCUCUCCACGUGUCUCAGUGGGGUUGAGACGGGUAGGCGGCCGCCCCCUGGGCUUCCGGACAGAGGGAAGCCCACCUAUGGGCGGCACAGGACCAACUGCAACCGCUGCCGGAGGUGCGCCACCAGCCCUGGUCUCUCUAUGACCAGGACCGGCGUGCACCGGGGGAGAGGGGGAGUUGGAGCGCGCGGCGAGACAGCGCGCUUCCGCUAACACCCCCUCAAGCCUCUCUUUCGCACAGAGGGCGGAGAUAUGCUCAAGAGGGGGACCUUUCUCCCCCCGAAACACAAUACUACUGUUCGCAGCCACAACAGCCAAAAGGGGCACCAAAUCGCUAGAGAGAACAGAAAACCAAGAACCAGAGCCAGAAGGGGGAGGAGAGGAGGCGUACCUGGGAACAGAUCGCGGGCCGCAGCACGCCGGGCCGCCAGCUCAGGCAUCGUCGGGACGCGGCCGUCCUGAAGGGUCCGGGACUGGCUGAUCCGAGCGCUCUGACGUGCCGACACGAUGGGGGAAGUGCCCUCCCGAGGCCGAGAGCGGGGCACAGGAGGGUACUCGGGCGCCCAACCAGGGUUGACGACCACCGGAGGGCGCGAAUCCGGGGACCCCAAGGUUGGGGAAGGGGGGAACUCGGAGAGCACGAGUAGCAAACCACCCCUGGCGAGCGCGGGGACGAAGCAGGGCAGACCUCCAUACCCACACUCACCUCCUCCUCAGCAGCGACCACCGGGAUAGGGGAAGCAGGGAGAGUGAUCUCCAUGCCUACCACCACCACCGGCGCCAAAGUACCCACCGUGGAGCCUCCUGCGAGCCCCGACUGGCCAACACCCGAGGGGGCGGGGGUGCGCCGACCGCCAGAUGGCUCGGGCGGAGCCCCGACCGUAUCAUCGUCCCCCUCAGAAGAAGGCCCCUCCUCCGACGAGCCCCCCUCCUUGUCAAGACCCCCGUCGGCAGGCUCCAGCCCAGGCGGGACCGGAUCUAGCUGAGCCGCUGAAGCCGGGGACUCGAGCUCGAAGGUCAGACGCCUGCCCUUGGACCCAAAGUAGAAGACCAAAGACAACCCGUCAAUCUCAGCAGGAGCCGGGCAGAGAAUCUCAAUGCGGGCAGGGCCAUCAUCCUCGAAAGAUGCCAGGUCGGCGGUGAUCAGUUUGCCCAUGGGUUUAGAGAUGGCUUUCAGAAUAUGACUGAGCUUGCCACCCCGCGGAGCCGCACUGCCCCCCCUUGGGAGGCCAUAGACGAGGACCCAAACCUUCUCCAAGGGAGGGACGGGGUCAGGCUCUGACAUGGCCGCCUGGACGCUGAUCGGGAGCUGGUUGAGGGGACACCGGAUAGGACCAUGCGAGCAGACCCGGAGUAGCUCGGCCGAGGGGAAGGGGACCGAGAAGACCAGGGGAGCCGUCUCAGUCACCUCCCAUGCGAACUCAGAGCCGCGAAAGUCGCCAAUGUAGGCCGCAAGCUCAUCCUGGAUGAGGUCAGACGAGAUCACCAGGCCAUCCGGGAUAGGCUGCUCGGGCUCCAAGGUGACCGUCGCUAGGUGAGGACGAGCAGCUACCUCCUCAAUCUCCGCAUCCACGAAGUAGAAGCUUCCCCGCUCAGUGCCAUACCCAAGAUAGGCAAGAAUCGUGGGGCACCGUGGGGGAGCCUCACACUCCGAGCGGUAGUGCCCGGUGCACCCGCAGUUGAUGCACAUCGUGUCCUCGCGGGAGCGCUGGCGGGUAGCACGAGCAGGGGGUCUAGAGCCUCAUGCUCAGGAGCCCCCUGAGCUCCUGGCGACGUCAGGCCGCCAGCACCGCCAACAGCCUUCUUCUUCUUCGACUUCAUCUUCUUCUUAACCGGGGUCGGGCGGGAAGCGGAGCAGCAGGCAGGGCAUCUGGGGACACGUGCCUAGAAGGCCCGUCGUCCCGGCACCAGUCCGCACCCGUCGCCCGAGAGGAGCGCCAGUCAGCCCGACGUCCAUCAUCACCGCGCCGCAUUGGCGGCCCGCCCCACCGCUCCCCCGGGCGGUGGUCCUGGCGAUCACGGGGCGGCCCGCCCCACCGCUCCCCAGGAAGGCGCCGCGGGGCGGUGAGCGAGGUCCCGAGCCGGGGGGUAGCGGGGCGCUGGCUCCUCACACGGCUGAGAUGCCGGAGUGGGGCGAGCAACCAACUCUGCACACAGAGUCGCUUCCCGGUCCAGGUCGGCCGCGCGGGCGGCCUCCAGGCGGCGACGGUCCCCCGGCGAACCCGGCAACGGCAGGCGGGGAUCCCUCUCCGGAUCACGAGGGGGAGGCGGACGGCGAAGGGAGGUCCCGGAGUAGUACUCCGGGGACUUCCCCGGCCGGGCAGACCCACCGCGCCCGGAACGGGACGAGGCAGCACCCCCUUCCAUGGCACGGUCACGGGCGGCGGGCAGCGCCUUCAACACCGCGCGAGCCUGGUCACGAGAGGUUGGCGUAGGGAGGAGCCCCUGCCCAGCCGGGAGAGGCCGCUUCGGUCGGGCCUGGCCGUUCCCGGCGUGGCGUGUCAUGAGCACGUCCCGGUAGGAGCGCCGUGGGGAGGGGAUGGGGAGCAGGUCCGGGCGCCGGGCAGCAGACGAGGGCGCGUCGCCGGCAGUGCAGGCGAGGACGGACGAGGUGGAGGGAGCUCUAUGGCUGACGGGACGGGGCGAGCGGGGCCUGGGGAACGGCCGGCGGGACGGGGCGAGCAGGGCCUGGGGAACGGCGGGGACGUCCGCGCCCGACGGGAGAGAGCGAGAGGAAAGGGAGCGGGAGCCCGACCGGAGAGAGCGAGAGAAACGGGAGCGGGACGGGGCGAGGCUGCGAGGUGGCGGUGGCGCACGCUCGGCAGGGUAAACCCUAUCCCCGAGCCGGUCCUCCCGACGCAGGCCUGGGCCGGGACGCGAGCAUGGGGGAGGCCCAGGUGGGCAUCGGCCCACUGCCGGUUAACCUUCUCCAGGACUCGGGAGACGCGGCGGGAGGCCCAGGCCAUCUCGCUAGCUGAGAUGGGCCCAGGCCCCGUUCGCAGCGGCCCAUGGGGAGAGCCGGCCCAUCCGUCCGCCAGCCGGCCAGGGGAGUUAGGGCAUGGGGGAGGGGACUGACGAGGCACUCGGGCACCUCCCGCUGCCGCCGGCACCGCCGCCGCCGCCACAGGAGGCAGGGCACCAGCGCCUGGUCGGGGCUCGCGGGGGCCCUCUCCGGCGACCGCCAUGGGGGACAACCCAGGCAGCAAACCGGCUCGGGCCAAGGAGGGGAGAGGGGGAACCACAGGGGGACAGUGCACCGGCGACCGCCGCCCGACCUCCUUCCCCGGCCGCCGGCGGGCAGGGCGCGCCGCAGCCAGGAACGAGCCGAGCAGCGGCGGUGCCAGGGACACCGGCAGCUCCAACCGGUCAUCACCAUCCGAAGAGGCCUCCAUGUCAUCGGGGUCGGGAUCGUCCGUCCAGUCCGCCCAACGUCGCGGCGACCGUUGGAAGCAGAGGGAGGGCGCCCCCGGCGGGGGAAGCGGGGGCAUCGCGCUCACGCAGCACGCCGGCCGACCGCCGUCAGCGGGCACCGCGCAGCUUCAGGUCUCGGCCCGCCGGAGAGGAGCCGCCCAUCGCUUCUUCUCUUCAGGAAUCUAGUCGCCGGCCCACAAGUGGGGUGAUGAACAAGCUAAUGCGAUUUAAAGUAAUCAUACCUCGUCCUAAGAAAUUAAAAGUGAAUUCAUACUGUGCAGCUAGAAAAAGAAUCAUAAAAGUAUACAAGCGCAUGUGAAAAGAAAAAGAUGAACAACUUGCCACUUCAUAUAGGUGAUCUAAUUAACUAAUUUAGGGUUCGAAUAACUUUGUUUCCCCACAAUCAUGACAAAGUGAACCUUUUGUUGAAAGCCGGAAUUCUGCAAUAAAGCUGCAAUGGUAGAUCUAUUUUUAUCAGGGAAUCUACCAUGCUGAGCUGCUGCACACAAGGCGUUCUCACUCACGAGUCGCAAAAAAGAGUUGGUGAGUUAUUAAAAAAGAAGACAAAGAGGACGAGUGAGUUGCACCAAAAUUAAAUACUUCCUUCAUUUCAAAAUAAAUGUCUCAAUUUUAUACUACCUCUAGUAUAAGAGCAUGGUUAAUAGUAUAGUCAACUGCUGGCUAUAAGCUAUCUUAUAGCCUAUCUUAUAGCUAGCUUGUACAAUAGUUAGCUAUAAAAGAGUACUACUUUUAUUCUAUAUGGCCCACCUUUCAUUUUCACAAAGCACCUACGAGCACGUGCUAGAGCUGGCUCUUUACGAAGAGCCCGCUUCCCUUCUCACUCCUAUUCUCUCUCAUCCAACUCAGCAAAAAUACAGUAUUUUAAUCCUUACAGCCUGCUGACUGUACCUUAUUGUACUUGCUCUAAAGUUGUACUCCCUCCGUUCCAAAAUAUAAGACCUUUUAGAGAUUUAUUAGAAGACUACAUACGAAGCAAAAUGAGUGAAUCUAUACUCUAAAAUAUGUCUAUGUACAUCCGUAUGUAGUUCAUAGUGCAAUCUUUAAAAUGUCUUAUAUUUAGGAACGGAGGGAGUAUUAAGUUUGAGGCGGUUAUAUUGAGACGGAGAGAGUACUAGAUAUACGUAAUCUGAAAUAGUGGAGUACCAAAAUUAUAGGCCUCUAUGAUUAGGAGGAUUUUCAUAAAACAUUUGGAAAGUUGUGAUACUUGAGAAUUUUUCCUUUAUCGCUUAUCUGAUUCGUAGAUUGACUCCUAUAGGAUUUUCUCCUAUGGAUUCCCUUUGACUGCACAUUUCAUGAAAAAAAACAUUAGUUUGCCAUGAUAAUUUUUCACCAGGAUGCACAAAAAAUGAACUAGUUCUGAAAGGUUUAUUGGCUUCAUUUGGAUUUACUUAGAAUCAGCUCAUAUUAGCAAUAAUUAAAGAUGGCCGAACGAUGGCGCCGUCUCCCUCCCGACCCGGGGCCGCAUGCAGCCCCUCUCCCUCUGCCCCCCUCCUCCUGUCGGUGCCCUCGGAUCUGGUCCGGGUGGUGUUGGCGGUGGCGGGAUCUCCAUUACCUGUGCGCGGACGUCCUUCCCGAGGCAGGGGAUCGACGGUGGUGCGGCUCGGCCUGCUGUGGUCCGACGACCUAGAGGUGGUGGCCGGCAGCCGACGUGGUGGUGGCGCUGCUCCUUGGCGGCGGGGUGGCCUAGCGGCACGGGGUGGCCGGCUGCACGACCCCGGGCCAGAUCAGGGCCCAUAAGGCCUCAUCUAGGUCCUAGGGGACUGGCUCUGGCAUGGACUUGCUGCCUCCUGUACAGGGAUGAGGAGGGGCGGGUUGAAAGGGGGGCCGCGAUGCCGACGGUGUGCUUUCUGCAGCGCGAUGGCAGGAGCUUUAUGGGUAUUUGUGGGGCCAUGAGCCUGGUUUGCUCCUGCCGAUGUGUCCGGUCGGUUACUGUCGUUGACGAUGGAAGUCGGACCCUCCCGCAGGCCGCCGGUGUUGCUUCCCCUAGUCCCGACUCUUCUUCUUCGAUGUGCAGGCCUCACUUCUCGGUGUCCUGGUGAGACAGUGUGGGUCGCUUCAAGAUUGUGCUUGCGCAGGGCGGUGGGUGGUAUGGUGGAGUCCUCCGGAACGCCCGUGGUGAUGCGUGGGGAUCGGGACGUACAAAUCCUUGUCGGCCUGUUCGACACCGACACGGUGACGCCUGAGGGUGUCGACGGACCUUCCUGGAGGGUGUCGGGUGCUACCCUUUCUUUGUCCUCGUUGUGUAUCGGGGGAAACCCUUGGCAGCAGCGCAGUCAUCGUCGUGUCCCUUCUUGGAGGUGUUGAUUGGUAUCGGCGCUUCGAAGGCUAGGAUCUUGGUGGAAGAUCUUCGAUGGGCGCAACGAUCGCGGGGCCUCUUCAUUUUUGUCGAUCCAUCAUUGUUGGCAUCUAUUCCUUUUGCAUUUUCUUUUUCCCUUCCUUUUGGACGUGAUUGUGAUGUCUCCGUCCCAGCACUUAUUGAUGGAUAUAUCGGGCAUUUGCUAUAUUAAUAUAGCGAGGCGAACGCGUGCUUCGAAGAAAGAUGGACGAACUUACCAACCAUAUUACUUGUGCUUAUUUAUUUUCUUCUGUUACAACGCACAAACAUAUUUGCUAUUUGAACUAAAUCACAUUGCCAAUUGCUCGUCUAUCAUGUCAAAUCAGAACCACGCAUCUAACCCUCCCAAGAUGUAGAUCGAUCGGUUUUACUCGGCAUUCAUUAUGGAUCGGAGGGAGUACUCCUAGAUCAUAUUCAAAAUUGCUCCACGCCACAAAUAAAACUGCACGGUACAUAUGGUAAAUCUGGGAAAGUGAUUUGCGUGGUAUGUGUGCCAUAAUCAACUGAAUUAUUGGACUAACCGCAUCAAGAUCGGAUCACAUCGAUCCUAUCCCCGUCGACGAGACUGUCCUCGAAUCAAAAUAUUUCUCCAAUGGACGCUCGUGUCCCACGCUCUGAAAGCGACGCCUUUUGUUUUGUCAGUUAAUUUUCACGUCAAGCUCACACCCACGCACGCACCGUGUAGGAUCCACGGCUCGACGCACCUCCCCUUCCCUCCCCUUCUCCCUAUUUAACGAGCUAGCCACCCCCACGCUUUUUGCACCUCAGCAAGCACCAACACACACACACACACAAGAAAUGGCGAUGGCUAGGACGACGACGCUCCUCCUCGUCGCCGCAGCUCUCCUCGCGGCCUCAUGCAGCGCAUGGGAGGUCAACAUCCGCAUGCCGACGUCGGCGGCGGACGUGGACGAGGCGGUGGUGGCGCCGCUGAUCCACGCGCUGCGGCCGCUGCUGGGCUCCGGCAAGCACGCCGGAGUGGCGUGCGACAGCUGGGUGCUGGGGGUGGAGGCGCACAACGUGCGGGACUGGAAGACGGUGCCCGCGAGCUGCGAGGGCUACGUCGGGCACUACAUGCUCGGCAGCCAUUUCCGCCGCGACUCCAAGGUCGUCAUCGACCAGGCCCUCGCCUACGUCGACUCCCUCAAGCUCGCCGGCAACGGCAAGGAGGUCUGGGUCUUCGACAUCGACGAGACCACCCUCUCCAACCUCCCCUACUACGCCAAGCACGGCUUCGGGUACGUACUUACACUCUUGUAUACAUUACAUAGACACUACUGAUUCUACGUGUAGUGCAUGCAUUAGACUUGCUAUUUACUGCAGGUACAUCCGACCGAGCAGGGACUUGCACUCAUCUUUUCACUAAGAUGAAGUGUAAAUAAUCUGACUAGAUAUAUAUUGUAAAAAAUCAACUCACUAGCUAGCUAAAAAAUACCAGCGAGAUCUGUAAUGAAUGAAAAUUGGAAAGCACAUAAGGAUAGAAAUAUUGGAAAUAAAAAGGAAUAUAAUCACUAAGUAGAAAAGUACUUUAAUCACAAGUGUUGGACACUUGGACAUCAUCAUUGCCAGUAGGACUCGGGCCAUAUGUCCCUAGUAUGAAUGGCCAACAAAACAAGAAGGAAACAUACUAUAUUUUGAGAUAGAGAUGUGAUGUUGAUGGGCAUGCGAAUGUGGUGGCCGGGUAGGACCGUAUAUGUUGUCCACUUGGCUACUUUAUGGAAAUGUUCUAAUUAUGUUAUGCUAGUCAACUCAUACUUUCUAAUUAUGUCAUACUUUUGUACACAUACACACUAUUGUAGUGCAUUAUACUCCCUCUCUAUCUAAAUACUUAGAGUUCGAAAGAACUAGGUGCAUUUCAGCAGGGGCUUGCACUGAUCUAUUCGUUCAGAUAAAAUAAAUAUCUUACUAGACCUCGUUCAAAUGAACUCACUAGCUAGAAAGCACUAGUAUCAUAAGAUUUCUAAUGAAUGAAAGUGGGAAAACAAAUGAGACUAGAAGUGGAAACAAGGAAUAUACUCACUAGCUAGAAAAGUAUUAAUUGGACGUGUUGGACACACUUAGGCAGCAUCAUUGCUGGUUACCUCAAAUCAGUCACAGAGACGGCCAUCAGGACCAUAAAUAUGUCCCGCCUAUGAAUGGUCAACAAAACAAGAAGGAAACAUAGUACUAUAGUUUGAGAAUAUGGUGGCCGGGGUAGGACCGUAUAUGUUCUCCACUUGGCUACUUUAUGGAAACGUUUAUUUCCAGCUGUCCUUAUCAGCCGAUACGUUCUAAUUAUGUUAUGCUAAUCGAUUGAUAUUUUCUGAUUAUGUUAUGCUAAACUUAGUUCAGAUGGAUAGUACUCCGAUACGUUUUCAUUAUUUUAUGCUAAUCUGAGUUUAGAUGGAUAUAAUUACUUAUUUUAGAAGAUGUGAGAGGUCAGAACAUCUUGUGCAUAGUUAGUAGUUACAUGCUACUCCCUCCGUUCCUAAAUACAAAUCUUUUAAAAGAUUUCACUAGUGGUCUACAUAUGAAGCAAAAUGAAUGAAUUUAUACUAUAAAAUAUGUUUAUAUACAUUCAUAUGUAUUACUCUAACCUCUAAAAAGAUUUAUAUUUAAGAAUGGAUGGAGUACAACUCUAUUCCUCUUUUCUCAAAUAGUUGAACACUAUUCCUCUUAGUUAAGAAGAUUCUCUUGAACCAAGAUGGAAACUAACUUGAAAUGUAGUAGAAGUCUAGGUGAUAUCUAGCCAACAUGAUGAUACCAGUUUAGUUCAAAACAUGAUUAACUAGCUCCGGAUAGCUUGCUUGUGUAUAUUUUGAAUGUGAUGAGGGAGCUAGUUCGUUGUGAUUUAAAAUAAACUGUACCUUGCCGUAAGAACUUUAAAGUGGAUCUACACUGGGCGGCUGGAAAAAGAUACAUAAAAGUAUAUAUAUGCGCAUCAAGGAAAAAAGAAAGAUCAAAAGCUUAUAACAGCAUGUCUAACUAAUCGAGCGGUUCAAAUAACUUUGUUUCAUCACAAUCAUGACAAAAUUAACCUUUUUUGUUGAAAGUCGGAACUCUGCAAUAAGGUUGCAAUGGUAGACCUAUUUUACCAAAGGAAUCAACAAAGCUGAGCUGCUGCGUACAAAGCUGUGCACGAUGAGAUUAAAUACUACAACUGCGUUUUCGGUCCAACAAAACAGUAGCGUGAUGAUGCCGGAGUGAACCUCGCUAUGUCACAUUCAUUGAUUUACUCCACUUGACCAACUUAAUUUACGACGUCCACAACUACGUACUGCUCAUGCACGUGCGUUACGUACAGAUACAGAGCAUCAUUGCGUUUACGUAUUGCCCAUCCCCUUGGCCAUUUGGCCACUUGGGCCAUAAUCUAGGUUGCCUAUGUUCCUUGGAUAUGCAUAAUUACUACUACUUCUUAGUAGCUGAUAUGAUUGAAUCUGCCAUUAAUCUAUCCUCGUAUACAUGUGCGUGCAGGGCUACACCGUUCAACGCGACCAGCUUCAACGCAUACGUGCUACAGGGGAGCGCGCCAGCCCUGCCGGAGACGAAGCGGCUGUACAACAAGCUGCGCUCGAUCGGCGUCAAGCCGGUGUUCCUCACCGGCCGGACUGAGGACCAGAGGGCCAUCACCGUCACCAACCUCCGCCGCCAGGGGAUCUCUGGGUGGAUGAACCUCUUGCUGAAGCAACCCGGGUUCAAGGGCUCUGCGGUGACCUACAAGUCCGGCGAGAGGCAGAAGCUGCAGGACGCCGGGUAUGUCAUCGUCGGUAACAUCGGCGACCAGUGGAGCGACAUCCUCGGCGCGCCAGAGGGUGCCCGCACCUUCAAGCUGCCCGACCCCAUGUACUACAUCGGCUAGGCCGCCUCUGGCUCGGCCGGGCAUGCUGCCAUUGAUUUCUCGAAUAAGCUCCAUGCUCUUAGUUAUAUGCAUGUUUCGUCAGAUAAUCAAUCCCCAAUUGUUGCUUGGUUCAUUUCCAUUGUUGAGAGCUUGAGAUCAAUUGCUACUAUGAAUUAGACGUGUAAGUGGAGAUGUUGCAUGCUGCUUAAUCAAUGGAUCUUUGUUAUGUUGUUUUUCUUUUUGCUCUAUUACAAGGAAUCCAUGGGCAUUAUUACUAUUUGAUAUCUUGUUCUUAAGUCUUAACUUGGAACUUAUAUUGCUGGUGGUAGAUUUUUCUGUACUAAAUUCUGCAUAUGGUGUAUUAAAUAUCAGGGACACAUAAUAUUGUCACACAUAUGGAAUCACUACUGCUAAAAUGACCAGUUCCUGAACCCAUCUGCUAUUGGGCCCAUUUUGGCCCGUCGGAGGAAGGGAUCAUCGUCGGUGGACAGGCAAAGAAGUGCUCGCAUAGACUCCUUCAAAAAAUGUGCCCUCAUAGACGACGGGUAUUUUCCACUGAUGUUGCGCAACUGGUGAUUGCAAUGUAGUUUGUGUCUUGCAUGUUGUAUGCAUAUGUAAUGAAUGUAACAUCUAAUAGUUAAUUAUGCAAGACAAAUAAAGCCCACCCUUUUCAGUAAGUUUAGAGCUAGAUUUGAGUUUGUCUUGGUCUCAUUUUUCUAAACAUACAAUCCUGGAGACAACUCGGUGAAGAAAUGAUGGUCCAAAUAGGUGUCUAACACGAAUCGUCAUCAAAGAAACCCUAUGGGAACCCACACUAUUCUAGUUACUUGGAUGAUUUGUAAUGAAAGAAAUAUAUGUGUCUUCCAAGUUAUUUUGACCAUGCCAAACAACAUCCCUGCUAAGAUAAAAAACGAUGUGGAGACUUGGAUAAAGGCCGGGCGAAGGAUCUGGGAAACAUUAUGCCAGGAGAGUAGUUCCGUUCUAUUAAUUUAUCCUUGGAUGACGUUUCGCGGAGAGAGGGGAGAGGGCGACCUGGGCGAUCUGGGAGCGUCGGGGGCCGCCGUGGGCAUCGUCGGAGAGGGGGAACAUCGGUACUCCUCCUCCGAUCUCGCAUCCCAGGCGCGGCGCCGGAGCCCGAUCUCGGCGGUGGAGGGACCUACUGUCCGUGUCCGAUGGAGAGUUGCGUACUCAGAGGCUGGUUAUUCGGAUCUGCGUGAGGGGCAGAUUGUUUUUCAUUCGGUUUCUCGUUGGAUGACACUACGGGAUGACGACGACGACAUCCUCGCCGGCUGCCAUCUCCAAGAGGAAGAUCUCAUCUGCGAAGGUGCGCAUUUCAUGGUGGAUAUCUUUUCUGUUACUUGUAUUUCUCCUUUCCUGCAGGUGAAUUCACAAGAACGGAUGCAGCCUGAUUUGGUGGACAUAUCUGACGAUGAUAAGAUCGCCUCACCAAGACUUCUCCCUCGAGUUGGGGGGAGGUUUUGGGUACUGGCUAAAGAUGAAGACGACGAGAACCACGACAUUGCCGUAGCACAGGAGGUCUCUGCUCCUUUCUGCGACCAGGUUUUCCAUCCGGCCACGAGGGAUUUUAUUCAUGCAUUGCCUGAUUCGAAGGUCGUUAAGGUAGUUCAACGCAAGGAGCGAUUGGCGAUUAAACCUUGGAGCGGUCCUCUGCCUAAGGUUCAUCUCGAACCAUUGCGGAUCUCGGACAUCAUACCUUGAGAGGCUUGGACUACUGUUUUGCCUAAGAGGAAGAACAAGGGUAAGAGCCGUAAAUUGCAGACGUCAGUCCCUGACAAGGUGCUGUCGUCCCGUGAUUCUCGCGAAUUACGUUUGAACGAGCCGAUGGCUGUUGUCGGGCCGUUGGGACCGGCGCUCGAGUUGGGCUUAAAAGAAACUGGGUAUAUGGCCCAGAUAGACUCCAAUCUAGCAAAACCUGCAAGUCCUACACCUACGGCUGCCCAGAUUUGCCUUGACGAGAAUCAUCAGGACUUGGUUUCUACGUCAAGUUUGCAUAUACCGAGUUCGGCUCUGCCUAGGGUUCCACGACGGCGUUUGCCUGGCUUCCCUUCGCUCGGGCCGGGUCGUGCAGUACGGGUUCCAGCGCUGCGGUGCAUGGCGGGGCGGGGAAACAAGCAGGCGCUGCCUCCCCCUCGACCACCGGCGGUUUCCCAGGCUGUGGGGCGGACUAGGCAGCAGCCCGUGAUGCCGCCAGGGCGCCAGACGGGCCAGGCUUCGGCUGCACCGGUUCCCGCUGCUGGUCAGGGUUUGCCCAACGCGGCUCGGGCGGAUACUAACAGGAUGCAGCCGAGAGGUCGAUGGGGGGAUGAUGGUGUUAAUGCAUAUGGUGAUGGACAGCACCGUGGAUCCUCUUCGUCUGGAGGAGGACGUGGCUAUGCCUGGCAGAGCAAUGGCAGCGCUGCUAAUGGGUUCGCCGGUCCUCCGGGACAGUUUGUGCCCCGGGUCUCGGGUCCUACUCACCCUAGGGAGGUGGAUAUAAGCAACAUUGGGGAGGGAGAGGUGGUGGCAGGAGAUUGAAGCCGCCCACGCCUCCAGUAGAGGUAGAUGCUGCCAAGACAACGGCGGGAGUACCUUCCAAUGCUCCUAAGGGGAAUACACUGCUGCCACCUGUUUCCGAGGAGGAUCCUUCCUUGGCUGACAAGGGAGUAUCGCUUGCGAAGGCAGAGGGGGGGGGAUAGGCCCUCCAAGUGGGCACGCAAAAAAGAAAAGAUGACAUGCUACCGUUGCAGUGAGACGGGUCAUUUUGUUUCCGAAUGCAGCGCGGAUCUGUGUGACUUUUGCUUAAAGCCUAAGCAUGGCUCAGCUAAGUGCCCCCUUACUGUUGGUCCUAUACAUGUCGUCACUUUAUAUGGGGUUUGCUGCCAAGAGUUGAUGUUCUUUGAAUCUCCCUCUGCUUCAACGUCGUUGCAUGUGCCAGACGCGGCCUAUACGGGGACGGUUACGGUGGCUCGUGGUAAUAUGUCAGCUGAGCAGGUGGUGCAACAGUUGAGGGAUCUUGUUUCAUCAAUGUUUCGGUGGGAACUGGUCCUUAUAGCAGAUAAUGUGUUCAAGGUUGUGUUCCCUACCAAGGAGGACCUAGCUAGACUGCUCAAGUUUGGUAUGUGUCGGGUUCCUAGUACUAGUUGUGUGCUAGAGUUCGAUGCUUGGAAGAAUGAGGAGCCAUAAGGUGUGCCACUUCCUCAGAUUUGGGUUCGUUUUUCAGGGGCCCCGUCAAAGGCUCUAAAUGACUUUCUGGUGACUUGGAGUUUGGGAUCUUUGAUAGGUAAGACUGAGAGGGUGGAUAUGCAAUAUACUCGGGCUAAAGGUGUUGCCAGGAUGAGGGUUAGUGUAAUUGAUAUUGCGCUAGUACCGGAUGAAGUUAUAUGGACUUAUGAUGGAAUGCGGUACACCUUGCAACUCGAGAUCGAGAGUCCGGAUAUGUUCGAGGAGGAUGGGACAGACAAAGAUACCGAUAUGGCUGACGGAGAUGAUGCUUCGGGUUCUAGGGAAUCUGAUAAGAAGGAUCAACAGCCAGUUAUUACAAAGAUGGUGGAUCAACCUACCUCAGGUUCUGCUACAGGGGCUGCUCAACCAGUGUCUCUUCCCUCGACGCAGCUUAGGUUCGGUUCCUUUGAACCAGCCUCGGCGCCAGAGAUUCGAGGGAGGGCUUCAGAGAAGUAUGAGCGGGAUCUGGUUCAUCUUAAGCCGCAAGGAAAGCAAGCAAAGUCAGGGUCAUUCAGUAUUAAAAAUCCUAAGGAAGCUUUGACCGUAGUUUCUCUUGGGGAAUAUUUUGUUGUCGCUAGGAAUGCUGAUACGGGCCGGUCUCAGCAACGUGAUGCAGUGCAGCCAGCAAGGCAUAUGUUGUCCGGGUUGGGUACUGUGCCGAGGGGUGCGCCGCCUGGGUCGCCUAGGCAGGGUUCGCUGCUGCUGUAGAGUCCAUCGCCAGCCACCCAGGGGGUUGCUGUUUCUCGGCCAGCCACCCCUGGGGCUGCUACCUUUUUGCCAGCCACACCGAGGGCAAUUACAGCGACUCCUCCUCCUGGCCUACUUCCGUCGUUGGAUGCUGCUGCGAGAUCCACCCCUGCUGCUGGUUUCAUGUCAGCCGAGAGAUCAACCCCUGUUGCUGCGGUUCCUAUCGCUACUAUGGCUGCAACCGGGGCAUCAUCUUUGCGGGUGUCAGGGCUGGAGGGUACUGGUCAGGGGCACCAUGGCGAGGUCGUUGCACCGCCGUCUGUUGAGCAGGUCAUAGCAUACGGAGGUAUUCAAAGUCCGCUGACUUCGGACAGGAGGUCCAGUCGGCGAAUUCAGAAUCAACCUGAUGCGGAUUAUUUACAGAUGGGACGUGCUAUGCGUGCGGCUAAAAUGAGAGAUGUCGAAACUGAGACAGGUAUGUCUUUCAGCAUUAACGAUUCUAUUCUUCAUUUUUCUCCUCAAGAUAUUCUAGAUAAGGCAGGUUCUAUUGGGGUUACAUUGGGGAACAAUGGCCGAGAAAUUUCGAAAUCUAUUAAUGAUCUAUUAGACUUAGAGGUCGAUAGAGCGUUAGACUUAGUACGAAAUUUAGCGGCAGUUAAACCAAUGCAAGAGUCUGAAGUUAACGAUCUAGGGGGACUGAAUUCUCUUUGUGAUAGUCUGGCCCCGUCAGUGGAUAUAGAGGAUGGUGCGGGCGAGGUUUUAGUUGGUCAAGGGAUGUGUGCCCAAUCUCAUAAGGCUGAGCCUCAAUUCUCUGGUUAUAUGGACCAGGAGUUGCUGGAAAAGCCGAAGCGUCCAUGGAGACGGAAAGUGUAUCCGGUCUCUGCGAUACGUAGAAGUGCUAGAUUUAAGAUUGCCAAAAAAAAUUAUGAUGAUUAAUGAGAGGAAUUUUUUGGAAUAGCAGAGGUCUUUGAGACUUGGCUAAAAGAAGAUUUCUAGCAGAGGCUACUUUAGAGCAUCACCUUGAUUUUAUCGCAGUGAUGGAGACAGGGAGGGAUAACUUUACGUCUCAUUUUUUAAGUUCUCUAUCAGCUGGGGUGGAUUUUGACUGGCACUGUCUCCCUCCAAGAGGAAGGUCCGGUGGGAUCUUACUUGGGGUCCGUUGUGACACUUUUCAAGUGCGGGAGGUGGUGUUUGGGGAGUUUGCAGUCAAAUUCAAGAUUAGAUCUAAGGAUGACGGGUUCCAAUGGGCUCUCGUUGCCGUCUAUGGCGUAGCACAGCCAGAUCUAAAGCCUGAUUUCCUAGCAGAUCUGGUCAGGAUUUGUGAUGACAAACUACCAUUGCUGGUAGGUGGAGAUUUUAAUAUUAUUAGGCGGGCUGAUGAAAAAAGUAGUGUUAAUUUUGAUGGAAGAUGGCCUUUCAUGUUUAACACAAUUAUUGAGAGCUUAGAUAUGAGGGAGACCGCUCUAUCAGGUAGGAAAUAUACCUGGGUGAAUGCUCUACAGAAUCAGACAUUUGAAAAGUUGGAUCGUGUCUUAACUAGUGUAGAGUGGGAGCAGAAGUUCCCUCUAGUAACUGUUAGAGAACUUCAACGCGCAAUCUCGGAUCAUACUCCUCUGUUGCUGGAUUCCGGUGAGGCUAGCCAUAUAGGAAACAAACAUGGAUUCUCUUUUGAAUCAAGUUGGUUCACAAGGGAGGGGUUCAUGGAUAUGGUCGAGAGGGAAUGGAAUACAGAGGUCAGGGGCGAAACCUCUAUAGAAAGAUGGCAGUAUAAGAUUAGACAUCUUAGACAGUAUUUGAGGGGCUGGUCUAAGAAUGUGUGUGGAAUAUAUAAAGAAGAGCAAGAUAAGCUCCUCAAACUUAUAGACAAUCUAGAUCGGAAGGCUGAGAGUUGUCUUCUGGAUGCUAACGAAAGGGAUCUCAAAUUCGAGGCCGGACAGCGCUUGCGUAUUCUCCUAAGAGAGGAGGAAAUGAAAUGGGCGCUUGAGCCAAAGUGAAGGCCAUAGUUCUUGGAGACAAUAACACUAAAUUUUUCCACUUGAUUGCAAAUGGCAAGCAUAGGAAAAAGAAAAUAGUGCAGCUUGAGCAAGAUGAGGGUACAAUACUAGGUCAUGAGAAUCUAAAAUUGUACAUCUCUAACUACUACAAACAUUUAUUUGGUGCUCCUGAGCAUAGCUUUGUGACUAUGGAUGAGCAAAAAGUGGCGGAUAUUCCUCAAGUUGGAGAGGCUGACAAUGAGAUUUUAUCCGCUCCUUUCUCAGAGAAAGAGGUGUUUGACGCGAUAGGGAAUAUGAAGAAUGGAAAAGCUCCCGGUCCAGAUGGGUUUCCGGCGGAGUUUUACAAGCACUGUUGGCAUAUUAUUAAGAAUGAUCUUAUGUCAAUGUUUGCUGAUCUUUUUAGUGGUCACCUUCAACUCUUCCAUUUGAAUUUUGGUACUAUUACACUCUUACCAAAGAAGGAAGGGGCCACGCGGAUUGAACAGUUUCGUCCGAUCUGUUUGUUGAAUGUUAGCUUCAAGAUUUUCACAAAGGUGGGAACAGAUAGGUUGACUAAGAUGGCCCAUUCGGUGGUACAAUCUACGCAAACAGCUUUUAUGCCAGGACGGAAUAUCCUUGAAGGAGUCGUUGUCUUGCAUGAAACUCUUCAUGAAAUGCACUCGAAGAAACUAGAUGGGGUUAUCUUUAAAGUGGAUUUCGAAAAAGCUUACGAUAAAGUCAAAUGGUCGUUUCUCCAGCAAACCCUACGUAUGAAGGGUUUCGAUGAGCUGUGGCGUAGGCACGUCGAUUGUUUUAUAAAGAAGGGAAGUGUGGGUGUCAAAGUGAAUGAUGAUGUGGGUCAUUUUUUCCAGACACUAAAGGGUCUCCGCCAAGGAGAUCCAAUGUCUCCCAUUUUAUUUAACAUUGUUGCUGAUAUGUUGGCACUGCUGAUUAAGCGGGCCAAUGAGAAGGACCUUGUAAGGGGCUUGAUCCCUCAUCUUGUUGAGGGGGGGAGUCUCCAUUUUACAAUAUGUGGAUGACACGAUUCUUUUUUUGGAGCAUGAUCUCAGUAAAGCCAGGAACCUCAAACUUAUCCUAUGCUUAUUUGAACAGCUAUUAGGGCUGAAGAUAAAUUUUCAUAAAAGUGAAUUGUUUUGCUUUGGAAAGGCCAAGGAUGAGCAGCUCACGUAUAAUCAAUUGUUUGGUUGUGCUAGCGGGAGUUUACCUUUUACUUAUUUAGGGAUCCCAAUUCAUCACAGAAAAUUAUCAAAUAAGGAUUGGAAAUGUAUCGAGGACCGUUUCGAAAAAAGUUGAGCUGUUGGAAGGGCGAGCUCUUAUCGUAUGGAGGAAGGUUGAUACUGGUUAAUUCAGUAUUAACAAGUAUGCCUAUGUUUCUCCUAUCCUUCUUUGAAGUACCUGUUGGGGUACGGAAAAGGUUGGAUUUCAAUCGAUCACGGUUUUUCUGGCAAAGUGAUGAGAUCAAGACUAAAUACAGACUCUCGAGAUGGGACAUCAUGUGUAGACCUAAGGAUCAAGGAGGUUUAGGGAUUGAAAAUUUAGAGAUUAAAAAUAAAUGUCUACUCAAUAAAUGGCUGUCUAGAUUAUCUAUGGAGACAAAGGGGUUGUGGGUACAAAUUCUGACGAAUAAAUACCUACAAAACAAGACUUUGGCGCAGGUUACAUUGAGACCAACUGAUUCACCGUUCUGGAAGGGGGUCAUGCGGUCUAAGAAUGCUUUUUUUCUCAGGUCUAAGUUUGUUAUUGGCAAUGGCCAAUCUACUAGAUUUUGGGAGGAUACUUGGUUGGGGGAGACGCCUUUAGCCAUGCAGUAUCCGCAACUCUACCAUAUUACACAAAGGCGUCAGGCGACUGUUGCGUCAAUUUUGCGCCAGGUUCCUCUAAAUAUUCAGUUAUGUAGAGCCUUAAUAGGUAACACAUGGUCAAGCUGGCUGCAUCUAGUGAGAAGGUUGUUGGAUAUUACCCUUACUGAGAACCCUGAUAGUGUUCGUUGGAAGUUGACCACUGAUGGAGUUUUCUCGGUAAAAUCUAUGUAUUUAGAUCUCAUAGAUUCUGUGUCCAUCCCGAAGUCCUUACAUAUUUGGAAGGUCAAAGUUCCACUUAGAAUUAAGAUCUUCAUGUGGUUUGUUCGCAAGGGGGUUAUUCUAACUAAGGAUAAUUUGGUCAAACGUAAAUGAAAAGGUAAUACUAGAUGCAGUUUUUGUGAGAACGAUGAAACAAUUAAACACCUCUUUCUGGACUGUCCUAUGGCUAAACUUCUAUGGCGAACACUUCUUAUUACUUUCAACAUUAAGCCACCCAAUAGUUUAAACACGUCAUUUGGGACGUGGUUAAGAGGGGUCGAUGAUAUAACUGCUAGCCUGAUCCGAGUAGGAUCAUGUGCACUUCUGUGGGCUACAUGAAACUGUAGAAAUGACUUGGUAUUUAACAAACAUCAACAUAUUCACUUUUUGCAGGUCAUUUUCAGGGUUAUUGCCUUGAUCCGCACAUGAUCAUUACUCACUCCUGUGGAAGCCAGGGAGCCUAUGGUUACUGGGUGUGUCCGAUGGAAGAUGGUAGCUCAGGUUAUCUUCAACCGUUUUGGAUGACGGCAUAUUAAUAGGAUAGGUGUUUAGUCAUCUAGGCUUAUUUCAAUGCCUCCCGGUUGUGGCGACGACGCCGUGUAUCUUUUUGUUAUUUUCUUCAUUUACUUAUCUGAAGACUCUUUGUACUUUUCGAGGAUUUGGUUUUGAAAUAAUAUAUGGCCGUAUGCAUCCUUCGAUGCCGAGGCCGGGGCUUUGCCUCCUUUUCAAAACAAAAAAAUUUAAUUUAUCCUUUCAUUGUUAACCCCUUUUUUGGACUGCAGUUAUUCUAACUCUCUUUUAAGUAAUGUAAUAAGGCAUAUCUUUUUCCUCCAUUUCGAGACAAAGUUCGGACCUAGCACAACUGUAACAUCCGCUCUACAUCGACUCACUCUAGAGAGACUAGUCUUGGCACCUUUUGCAGAACAUGAUUAGUGUCCUGACAUGGAGUAUUUUAGCAUAUAAUGGUCAACUCUCAAGCACAUAUCACUUCAAAUUGCAUUGCUGAAAAAGAACAUACACUUGCACGUUUUUCGAACUUUCACGCAACAAUAAAGUAACUCAAUGAAAUAUUAUGAUACACUCAAAAACAAUAAUAAGCACUCAACAAAAUAUCAACAGUUUUAUUUUGAUGGACGUAGUAGGACUGUAUCUGUUGUCCACUUGGCUACUUUAUCAACAUAUUUAUUUCAACCACCCUGAUCAACAGACAAUAUCUAAGUAUGUUAUGCUAAUUGAGUUAAAAUGGAUAAUCCUUAUUUUAUAAGAUGCAAGGAGUCGAAACAUAUUGUGAUUAGUUGCAUGCUACUAGCCUACUACAACACUAUUGAUCUUAGUUAAGAAGAUUAUCUUGUGAUUAGACGAAGUCUAGAUCAUCUAGCCAAGUAUGAAAAUAUUUAAAGGAGCGUGUGGAUACCUUUUCUUCUUUAAUAAAGGAAAAAAAAUUGUGUAUAUAUGCGAGUCUGAAAACAAAGAAAAGAAAGAUGGACAGCUUAUCACAGCUUCACAUAUGUCAUCUACUCCCUGCGUUCCUAAAUAUAAGUCUUUUAAAAGAUUUUACUAAAAGACUAUAUAUGAAGCAAAAUGAAUGAAUCUACAUUUUAAAUAUAUCUAUAUACAUUCUUUAGAAAGACUUAUAUUUAGGAACGGAGGGAGUAAUAGCUAAUUGAGGGGUUCAAAUAACUUUGUUUCGCAAUAAUGAUUGAAAAUCAACCUUUUGUUGAAAUCCGAAACUCUACGUACGGUAGACCUAUUUUUAUCAAGGGAAUCAACAAAGAUGAUCUGCUACAUAAAAAUGCGCGUAUGGUCACUCACGAGCCACAAGGACGAUGCUUGAGUAGUGAUGAGUGAGGUGCACGAUGAGAUUAAAUAUUCCAACUAGUGUAACCGAAAAGUAUAGUAAGUUAGACAUCGUUCUUGGUCCACGAAAAUAGUGGCGUGAUCGAUGACAUCUUGAUGCCGGCCGGAGACUAGGAUCUGGCUGUUUGAUAGGGUACCAAUUAAUUUAUACCCUCCACUUGGCCAACUUACUUCAUCACCAGUCGAUAACUGUAUACGCAUUGUUCCAUAUUCAUGCAUGCACGUGCUUACAGCCCAAGAGCAUUGGGUUUAGCUGGUGCUGUCUGAUCCGCUUGAACUCGUAGAAAAAGGGCCUUUGGCCUGGACCCUUUAGUCCCAGCCUGUCUUUCGGUCGGAACUAAAAGCCGGCCACGUCAUCCCAAAUUAUCAGUUUAACCCGCUUGGCCACCAUUUAUAUCAUUAAAAAACCUCAAAUUUGUAGCGGGGUGAGUUUACAUGUUACCUUGGAUCGCCAUUGUUUUUUUGGCCCUGCGUGUAACGACGAUGGCCGGAGUAGGCUCGUGCAGAUUAGUCCUCCUCUUGGUAAUUAAGGAGUAUAUAUCCACUAGCUAGUGUCUGACAUUCAGAACCUCCACUCGAUGGCCAGAGUAUUUGAUAUUUAUACUCUCCUCUUGGUAAUUAAGGAGUGCAUAUCCACUAGCUAGUGAUCUAAACGUUUCUAUAUUAAUUUAUGGAGGAAAUAUUUAAUAAGGUUAUUACCCAACAUUACAGGCGCCAUCCGAUAAACCAUAUCACUUUUUUUUGCGAGGACCUAAACCAUAUUCAAAAUGCAGAAUUACUGGCACGUGGUGUAGUUUACGGAUCGAGCCUCCUCCUUCGUGGGCACCAUAGUAGUCAUGCAAGACAUCGUAGUUAUAUAGUGGUCAAGUGUGAGUUAUGAUUGCUUGUAUAUUUUUUAUGCGAUUUAUGAGUCAAUAAAAGUGCUUUUAUUGAGAAAUGUAUCUAUAUUGAUUAUUGUUGAACCUGCCAUUAAUGUAACUAUUUACACAUGUGCGGGGCCAUGCCGUCCAACACGAGGAGCUUCAAAGCGUAUGUGUGGGAGGGGAGUGCGUCGAUGCUGCAAUGACGAACUGCUCUUGGUCGGCGUCCAGCCGGUGUUCCUCACCGGCCAGACCGAGGACCAUAGGGACAUCAUCGUCACCAACCUCCACCGCCCGAGUUCAAGGGCUCCACGGUAACCUACAAGUCUCAUGAGAGGCAGAAGUUGCCGACGACCUGGUAUGUCAUCGUGGGCACCAUUGAUGACCAAGGGAACGACAUCCUGGGGGUAUCCGGUGGGGGGCACACCUUCAAGUUGCCCGACCACAACGGCUAGGCUACAUAGAGAUCGGCCAUGCCUUGAUUGAUUUCUUGAGUAAGCUCUAUGCUUUCAAUUGUAUGCAUGUUUAGUAAACAAUCCCUCCCUAGUUGUUGCUUUGUUCAUUUUCAUUGUCGAGAACUUGAGAUCAAUAGUUAGUAUUUAUAAGACGUGUUACGCUAAAAGUUGCAUGCAACAUAAUCAAUGGUUUGUUGGUUUUAUUGUUUCUCUCUAUUACGAGAUCCAUGGGCUAUAUUGUUGUUUGAUGUAUUGUAAUUCUUAACUUGGAUCUGUAAUAUUGAUCAUGGUGUACUUUUUAACUAAAGAUUGUUGAUGGUGGAAUUAGUAUGAAAGGUACAUAGUGCUGUCACACAUAGGGUGUCACUACUCCCAUUUUGGCCCAACAGAAGGAAGGGUCAUCAUUUACGGGUCACCAGACUGCGUUAGUAUAGAGGCAACAAGGUAUUUUAACCAUGCCGAACAUCAUUAUUGUGAAGAUUAAAAAUGAGGCGGCAACUUGGGUCAAUUUUUGGGGUGGAGGAUUUGAGAAACACUAUGCCCCGUGAGAAACUCCGCUAUAUUAUUUAAGUCUUUCGUUUUUAGCCUCUCUUUUUUCGGCAGCGGUUCUUCCAACUCUCCUAGUAAAUAGAAAGGGGGAAAGAAAAUCUUUUGCCUCCAUUUUGAAAAAGAAAAGGUUGAGACUAACAUCCCUUUCCAUCGACCCACUCUAGAGAGUGUCUCCAACCUUGUUUUCUUGGCCCUUUUGCAUGACAUGAGUAGUGUCCUAACAUGGACUCCUUGAUGUGUAACGCUCAGCUCUCCUGACCAAAUCGCUUAGAAUUACAUCACACGCAAAAGUUAUAUACUUUUGCAUGUUUUUCGCACGUCAAUGCAACAUUAAAAAUUUCAAUGAAACAUUAUGAUACAUUUUGAAACAAAAAAGAACUCAGCAAAACAUACUGUGGAAAUAGAAAAUUUUUGCCAACAACUAAAAAAACGCAGUCAUCAAUUUAGCCGCAACAAAAAUAAGAUGUUAGAAGUCAGAACAUCUUGUGCAUGAUUAUAUGCUAUAGGACUAUUCAUUAGAGAAACUAGUUGGGUAAAACUUUCUCCUUUUUCCGAAUCUCCUUUUUAAUGUGGGGAAAAAGCUAAUGCAUUGUGGUUUAAAGUAAAUAUUACAUCGGCCUGGGAAAUUUAAAAUGAAUCUAGACUGGACGGCUACAAAGAGAACCAUAAAAGUAUUCAAGCACGUCAGAAGAAAAGGAAAGAUAAAAUUCAAAAAAGAAAAGAGAAAAGGAAAGAUGAACAACCUAUCACUUGCCUCAUAUCUUUACCUAAUAAUAAAGAGGCUAUUGCUUCCGUCGAAAAACCCACCGCUGCCGUUUUUUAAAAAGCCCCCUGUCUUUUAGGUAAUUAAACCCGCAGUACCUUUUUAUGUGUUACGAACAUGAAAACGUUUCAUUUUUGCAGGGAGCCUCCCAUGGCAUUGGAUAAGAGAAACGCAUCUGGGCUGACGAAAACGCACGAGAGGGCUAUCGCUUCUGCCCUCAUAAUCCCACAUCGAUACUUCACAGAUAAUUUCAUCACUUUAUAUACAUGCGCCUUGGUGAUUUUACAAGAGGCAACGGAAAUCAAGAGAGGAACAAAUUCGAGAAGAAGAAAUUGAGAUGACGCAAACAGAGGUGGAGCUGCGAGACAGAGGGGGCUCGGGGCGAAGGAAAGGGUCGGGCGCCGGCGAUGCAUACGUGGAGGUGGGGGCGUCGGGGUUAGAGGAUUCAGGCAACCGGCGGGGUAAGUCUUGCCGGAGACUGGCCCCAUAGGCCGACCUCGCAGCAGCACACCAUGGGAGGUGGUCGCGAGGUGCAGAGGUGGGAGGCGGUGGAGGAGCGGAGGAGGAGGCGAGUGCGGGCGCCAUUGGAAGGGGGGAGUCGGGGAGAUUGGGGAUCCUGUGGGGCUCUCUCCCCUAGCGGCGCGAGGUGGAGGAGAGGAGGGGGGCUGGGGAUCGGGCUAGGUUAGGGGAUUUAGGAGUGGGUAAGGCUAUGCCUUGGCACGCCUAAUGGGUUGUGCACUACUACUCAUCUCUCUUUCCUUUAAUUUCUUUAUCUAAAUUCUUUAAUUAAAAAUAUGUGGUAUUAUUUUUUUUCCGUUGCAACGCACGGGUCCUUUUGCUAGUAUCAUCUAACAAAUCGAGGGGUUCGCAUAGAUCUGCUUCGCCACAUAAUAAUAUAAUCAUGACAAAAGGCUACCUUCUGGUGAAAGCAGAAGCUCUGCAAUAAAGCUGCAAUCGUAGACCUAUUUUAUGAAGGGAACCAACAAAUCGAGCUGCACAAUCCAAUUAAAUACUAAUUCCUCCGUUCCUAAAUAUAAGAUUUUUUAAAGAUUAUAUUAUGAACUACAUAAAAAGAAAAAUGAAUGAAUCUAUAUUUUAAAAUAUGUUUAUAUACAUUUGUAUGUAGUUCAUAGUUAAAUCUAUAAAAGGUCUUAUAUUUAAAAACAGAGGGAGUAUAAGUACUGAGUAAGUUUGACAUUUGUUCUUGGUCCAACAAAACAGUCGUGUGACCCAUGACGAAGCGGCGAUGCCGGAGUUGGAUCUCACUGUCUGAUAUUUAUCGAUUUGUGCCCUCCACUUGGCCAGCUUAAUUGAUCACCAGUCUCUUUCAUUGACAAUUAGUGCUGCUCAUACACGUGCGUUGCAUACAGAUGAUAUAUUGGGUUUAGGUACGGCUGUCUGAUCCACUUGGCCACCUUCUCACUAGAAAGCUCAAGUUUGCAGCGACGAGUUUGCAUGUUACUACAUUGGAUCGCCGUUGUUUAGCCCUGCGUGUGUGAUGAGGGGCGGAGACCCGGAGCAGACCCGUGCAGAUUCGUAUUCCCUUGGUUAUGUUUUAUUCUGUAUAUUAGGUUUGUAUAAUGUAAAACCUAAAUUUGCUUCGCCACAUAAUAUAAAAUAAUAUAAUCAUGACAAAGGCUACCUUCUGGUGAAAGCAGAAGCUCUGCAAUCAAGCUGCAAUCGUAGACCUAUUUUAUGGAGGGAACCAACAAAUCGAGCUGCACAAUCAAAUUAAAUACUACUCCCUCCCUUUUUAAAUAUAAAAACUUUUAAAAAUUAUACUAUGAACUAUAUAAGAAACGGAAUGAGUGAAUCAAUACUCUAAAAUACUCCCUCCGUUCUAAAAUAGGUGUCUUAACCUUAAUACAAUUUUGUACUAGAUCUAGUACAAAGUUGAGACAAUUAUUUUAAGACAGAGAGAGUAUGUCUAUAUAUAUUUAUAUGUAGUUUAUGUUGGCUUUGGAUCCGUAGAUUAAUUCACCCAGUAGCUACCACAUACGUGCAAGCUAGCCUCUAAGCUAGCAAGCAGGCACACAAGUGGAUGGAUAUCCAAUUCGUAGAAAUAGAACGACGUACGACGAGCUAGCUAACUGAUUCGAUCGUCUUGACUGCUCGGAAUGUAACUCGUUGAAAAACUGAUCGAUGGAUUGCUAACAGGCUCGUAUCGAGCCUGGUACUUUUUUAUUGCGUUUUGAUCUCUGGUGUUACAAGCAACAUCUCUAGGAUGCCUUUUAUACACAUCCACAAGGAACUAUGAAAAUAGACUAGGACUAGGUAUCCUAAUACUACUAGAACUCGGUUUGAUUUUCUUUCCUAAUCCUAUGUGUACAAGGCAACGUGAUUAACUCACAUUCACCCCCUAAUCACGAUGUCCUUACUUCCGACCUGGGUCCCAAACACGAUUGCUGCUUCUCAUAAAUGUUAUCAUCGACAUGGCCUUUGUCGUCCCUUGCAACAUUUUAUGGACCGUCUUUACUGUCGUCGGCUCGUCCGUAGCUCGAUGACAACACUCCUUUUUGGUCGUGUCUUCAAUCUUCAUCUCUUCUUCGGUGCUUUGUAGACUGUCCUUCGGAUCAUCGAGGGUACAUCUUUUGAACCUGAGCGUGACCAUACUUUGGUCUAACUUUGAAUUUCAAGCUCUUGGCGCUUGCAUCAGCCCGUAACUUUGAACCACAAGGAAGAAGUACUUCUUUCCUCCGUGAGUUGCUGGGGUGAUAGGGCCACAUAGAUCACCAUGGAGCAGCUAGAGUGCAUCACUUGCACGAUAGGUAGACUGAGCAGGGAACGGCCUGCGGUGCUGUUUUCCAACCAAGCACCCGUCACAUACUCGAUCAACAUGGUCGAUAACUGGCAUCCCGGAUACCAUCUCCAUCUUUGACAUCUUCUUCAAGGCGUAGAAGUUAACAUGUCCGAAUCAUCAUCACUCUUGGCGAGCCAACACUCCAGUUGAGAUUGAUCAAGGUUGAGGAUAUAGAGCCUGUUCCGUGUGCGAGUAACACGAGCUAGCACGUUUCGGAGGUUGUCGAAGAUCGUCAUUACUCCGUUAUCGAUACCCACCUUGCAUCCAUUCUCGUCAAGCUUCCCAAUAAAGAUGAUGUUGUUGUGAAGCCGUGGGAUGUAGUACACUCCGGUAAGUAUGCGAUGUUCGCCUGUGAGACCCUCGAAGAGGACAGAUCCUUGCCCACAAAUCUCCACAUUUGAACCAUCACCGAACUUGACUGAGCCUUCAACAUCGUAUUCCAGCUCGAGGAAUUUCUCCUUGCACCCCGUCAUGUGGUUACUGGCACCCGUGUCGAGAUACCACAACACAUUCUGAUCACCAGCUAACUUCGGUGUCACUUUGUUUUCAUGAAGUAGCACCUUCCGGCUUGGUUUCACAACCACCGUUUCAGCGAGAUCACAAACUUCGGCCAUCAGAAGACCUGGACCUUCGUCUUCCUCCUUUGCCAAAUUUGCCUUGAUCUCUCGCUUGUCAUGCUCCGGACAAUCCUUUGCAAAGUGACCCAUCUCGUUGCAGUUAUAGCACUUGACCUCGGACAUAUCCAAGUUCCGUUGCUUCCGCCCUUUAGAUCGGUCAGCCUUACCACGACCUUGUAGCUUGCCUUUUCCUUUGCCUUCUCCGGUUUGUCCGCCGCGCGUUGUGCUGCUUGAGCCUUCGUUGCCAUCACACCUUCCUUUGCUACUUGGGGACUCCCAAUCUGCACGUGAGUACAUGAGUUGGUCACUACCUCCUCCGUUGCCUUCCCGACAACUACGAGAAUUCUCUUCCCACGUCCGCAGGCGUCCGAUCGCCUCCGUUAUGGUCAUGUCGUCGAUGUCGUAAAGCUGCUCGAGCGUGCCAAUGAUGUACGUGAAUUUUUUAGUCACCGAACUGAAAAAUUUCUCCACAAUCUCGGUCUCCUCGAGCUUUGCACCAAGCGCGCGGAUCUCUCCCACCAAAGUAGUAAGACGCAUGGCAUAGUCGUUCACCGAUUCAGUUUUCUCCAUCUGCAACUUGUGAAAUUGGCGCUUCAGCACUUGUGCCCGAGCCUUGGUGACGCGAUCUUCUCCGAUCCUCAUCUCGUUGAGUGCGUUCCACGCCUCUCUUGCCGUCUCGAACUCCACCAAUGUCAUCAGCACGGAAUCCGGCACAGACUGGGCUAUGGCGGCCAUGGCACCUUCGUCGCGCUCCUCGUCGACGUCGUCGUCCGUGAUGGCCUCCCACACUCGAAGAGAUCGGAGAAUAAUCUUCAUCUUCACCGCCCACACGUCAUAGUUGGCAUCGGUGAGCAUCGGGUACUGGAUGGGGAUGUUGCGAUGCGCCUGGACGUUGGCGCUGCUCGUUCCUCCAUCACUCGUUGCUGACUUGUCGUCCUUCUUCACCUUGUCGUCGUUCUUGUUCGCCUUGGCACCGCCUUUGCCGGAUUUGACCGACUCAGCGUCGCUGUCCGUCAUCGUAGAUCGUAGAUCGUCGAGGCUCUGAUACCAAUUGUUGGCUCUGGAUCUGUAGAUCAAUUCACCCAGCAGCUACCACGUACGUGCAAGCUAGCCUCUAAGCUAGCAAGCAGGCACACAGGUGGAUGGAUAUCCAAUAGAACGACGACGAGCUAGCUGACUGAUUCGAUCGUCUUGACUGCUUGGAACGUAACUCGGUGAAAAACUGAUCGAUGGAUUGCUAACAGGCUCGUAUCGAGCCUGGUACUUUUUGUAUUGCGUUUUGAUCUCUGGUGUUAUAAGCAACAUCCCUAGGGUGUCUUUUAUACACAUCCACAAGGGACUAUGAAAAUAGACUAGGACUAGGUAUCCUAAUACUACUAGGACUCGGUUUGACUAUCUUUCUUAAUCCUAUGUGUACAAGGCAACGUGAUUAACUCACAGUUCAUAGUUGAAUCUUUAAAAGGGCUUAUAUUUAAGAACGAAGGGAGUAUAAGUAGUGAGUAAGUUUGGGACACGCCGUUUUGGCUCCCGGACUCAGAUGAGCCCGAGCGUAAACAGUACGCCAGUUUGGGGUGCAAAAAAUGUUCCAAAAAAUCAAAAAAAAUUGUGAUGCAAGAUGCUCCUAUGUGUGAACUCUCUGUAAAAUUUUGUGAAGUUUGGACAUACGAGGAGCUCACUGCAAAAAAGACGAAAUUCAGAUGUGUGAGAAACUUUUGAAAAUCACACUAUUCAUGCCUGAUUUUGUCUUUUUUGCUGCAAACUCUUCAAAUGUCCAAACUUCAUAAAAUUUUACAGAGUUCACACAUCGAAGCAUCUUGCAUCAUAAAAAAAUAUUUUUUUUAAACUUUUUUGUAUUCCAAACCGUUGUACUGUUCACCGGGCUCAUACGAGCCCGGGCUCACAGAUGGAUUACCGGUAAGUUUGACAUUUGUUCUUGGUCCAACAAAACAAUGGUGUGAUCGAUGACCAAGCGGCGAUGCCGGAGUUGGAUCUCGCUGUGUGAUAUUUAUCGAUUUGUGCCCUCCACUUGGCCAGCUUAAUUGAUCGCCAGUCUCCUUCAUUGACAAUUAGUGCUGCUCAUACACAUGCGUUGCAUACAAAUGAUAUAUUGGGUUUAGGUACGGCUGUCUGAUCCACCUGGCCACCUUCUCACUAGAAAAGCUCAAGUUUGCAGCGACGAGUUUGCAUGUUACUACUCCCUGUGUACCGAAAUAUAAGACCUUUAAGAAAAAUUCCGACCAGAUGAAAAUGUGGACAAUUGACCAGGUUACCCCCCACCUCCGGCAGCUCGCUAAUUUCAAAUCAACCCAGAUCCAGUCGCCCCCCACCUCCGGCCAGCUCGCUAAUAACCCAGAUCUCACUACUCUGCUUGUCCGCUCCCUCCUCUGCCCCAGCUUGUCCGCUCCCUCCUCUGCCCCAGCUUGUGCGGCCCCUCCUCUGCCCCUACCUCCUCUGCCCAGCUCGUCUGCUAGCUACCAGCAGCUUCUCCAGUAGCCAGCGGCAGCAGCUCCUCCGGCAGCUAGCAGUAGAUCCAGCAGCUCCUCCACCAGCCAAUAGGAACUCCAGCAGCUCCUCCACCAGCUAGCACGAGCUCCAGCAGCUCCUCCACCAGACACCAGCACCAGCUCAUCCACCAGCCAGCGGCAGCCCCUCUGUCUGCCGGCAGAAGCAGCUCUUCCGCCUCUGCACUCCCAGCUGCCUCAACGAGGUCCUCUCCCAGUGAUGCACCCAUCGCCCAACAGAUCGCCGGAGGUUUUUCUUUUGAUCCAGGGUGCAGAUCGCCACAGGAGGUCCUAGUGGUGUUGGAUCCUGCUUAUCCCGUCUCCUGCAAACCAAAAAAGCAGGACAAUUAGAGGGUAUUUAUCACAACUUAGCAACAGUUGAACAGAAAACAGUUUAACAACAGCAGCAAAAAUUUUAGCGAGAUCAACAACAUCAGUAGCAGCAUCAAGACAUAGCAACAAUAGCAGCAAUAGGGAGACAUAGAAGUAGCGACAUGGAGUGGCAGCAGGAGUUCAUCAAAAUCAAUAGGGAGUAGCAGCAGCAGGAGUUCAUCACAAUCAAAAUCAACAGGGAGUGGCAACAACAUGGAAUUUGACCUCAACUGUACUCCGCCCGAAGAAGAUGAGAUCAGUCAAAAUGAGAUCAACAUGGAGGACUCACAGGGAGGCAAUGAUCAUGUUGAAGAUGAGAUCAACAUGGAGGACUCACAGAGAGGCAAUGAUCCUGGUGAACAUGAUAUGAACAUGGAGCAAAUAAGGGGAGGCAAUGAUCCCCACGAAGAUGAUAACAGUAAGCACAAUAUACUCAUUUAGCAGUAACAGUGUCUCAUUUACCAAGUUUUUGAAAAUGAACAGCAAGUCUAGUUUCUGAAGAUGAACAGUAACUCCACUUUCUAGAAAUAAACAGUAAUAGUAACUCAUUUGAUCAUUUGAACAUGUGACCAUUUAAAUAUUUUAUCAAUUUAUCAUUUGAUAAUUUGAGUAGGACUAAUAUUUUUUCAUUGUUGUGUUUCUUGUUGCAGUUCUUGAGCAAGGAGUUAGAAAGAGGAAAACUCUGAGUGACCAACAAAAAUAUGCUGCUUAUGUGGCAUUGCACAUAUUAUGUAUGAGUAGAGGUGGAAAGUUCAAGAUAACGGAUAAGAAAAACCUUGCACAUUUUUUUAAUGUAGAAUUGAGGAGUAUACAAAGAGUUUGGCAGAAGGCGAUGAAGCAAAUUUCAGAAGGUUUCGAGGUGGAUGUUUCCAACCAGAAAAAAGGAAAUGUGGAAGAAAACCAAAGGACAUCAACCUAGAGAAAAUCCCUACAAUACCACUCAAUAGUAGGUCUACUAUCAGAUCAUUAGCCUGGCAACUGGGAUGUAGCCCUACCACUCUCCACAGGAAUUCAAAAUGAAGUUGAUAAAGAGGCAUACAAACUGUGUCAAGCCAGCUCUAAAGGAAAAGAAUAAGAAGGAUAGAAUGAAAUUUUGCUUGUCAAUGCUUGAUGAGGCAACAACAAAAACUGCAAGGCCUAAGUUCAAGACUAUGCAUAAUGUUGUACAUAUUGAUGAGAAGUGGUUUACGAUGACCAAGAAGAAUAAAACUUAUUAUCUGCUGGAUGGGGAGGAAGAGCCUACAAGGCCUAUACAUGGCAACUGUAUUGGCAAGGUUAUGUUCUUGACGGGCGUAGCUAGGCCACGGUGGGAUAGUGAAGGAAAUGUGACCUUCUCUGGAAAAACCGAUGAACUCACGAUAAACUGCGUGCGCUCUUUGUCCCAGUUUCAGUUCCCUUGUUCUUGCUUUUCUAUAUCCCGAUGAACUCACGAAUCCAUGAUCCAUGGUCAAUCCCCAAUAUAUAUACUCAAGCAAUAUACUCUCUCAGCAGUAUAUAAUCAAUCAUACAGGAAAGAGUAUCACUCUCUCAGCAGAAUACAUACUCACGAAUCCAUGGUCAAUAGCAGCAUAUACUCCGUGUGGGGAUUAGUCUAGCUCGUAAGCCACGGGUCCAAAUCAAGCAAUAUAUCUACACUAGAAUCUGUAGCAGAGUACACAUCUGACAAAACCGAGAGAUGUGGAGAGGAAGGGGGUAAGAGACGGAAGGGUACCUGGGUGAGGUCGCUGAGGUGGAAGCAGCCGGUGGAGCGGUCGAGGUCGCCGCUAGGGUGUCGCCGGUGCACUGGAGCUCUGCCAACUCGUCCCCAACUCGACGCCCAGCUCGACGCCCAGUCCGGCGCCCAGCUCGAUGCCCAGGUCGACGCCGUCAUUGCUCGGGCUCGGCUUCAGCGCCUCCUUCACCCUGUCCUUGCUCGCCCAGCUCGUCGGCUUCUUGGUCUCGACGAGGCUCCCGCUGAAGUACUCCACCCCCGCCGCCGCAUAGACGAGCAACCCAACUGAGGGCGCCCGCAGCUCCCGCUGAAGUGAUCUGCUAUGUCCAGCACCACUCCGUCAUCCAUAUCCAACAUCGGCGCCCACACCAGCUCUGUCGAUGCAAAACAAACACAUUUUUGACCUUUGAGUGGGAAAGGAAGGAGAGGAAGCACGCAGUGGGAAAGGAAGGAGACAACACACGCGGUGGGCUGUGGGAGGAAGAACGCGGUGGGCUGUAGGAGGAAGAACGGUGGGCUACGGUGGCCGGCGACGACGUAGAGAGGCGACGAGGGAGGGGAAUGAGAGGGUGUGAGAUCUGGGCAGCGAGUGGAUGAGAAUGGGCAGGUGGGGGCAUUUUCGGAAACUCGGAAAGUUUCGUAGUGUCGCGAGAUUUACACUAGAAUCGCUAAAACGUCUUAUAUUUCGGUACAGAGGGAGUACAUUGGAGCAGACCUGUGCAGAUUCGUACUCCCUUCGUUUUUAUUUAUUCUGUAUAUCAGGUUUAUAUAAUGUCAAACCUAAAUCCUUUUAACAAAUUUGUAGAAAAAUAUAUCAACAUAAUCCCUUCAUUUCACAAUUUAGCGCUCGUUCGUGUGCUUUUCGAGAUCUAAGUUUGACCAUACCUUUAAACAAGAAGACCGAUUGCUAUGGGAGCAAAAAUUGAAUCACUGAAUUUGUAUUGAAAUUAAAUACUGAAUUUGUAUCGAAAAUAUAAAUUCAUUGGUAUAAUUUCUGUUGCCACCGCAGUCGGUCUCGUUGGUGAAAUUUAUGGUCAAACUUAGACCUCAAAAAACGCGAGCGCACUACAUUGUGGAACGGAGGGAGUAUACACCAUCAAAUCAAUAUCAUUGGAUUCAUCAUUUCAUAUAUUUUCACAUCAUAUAAAUUUAUUAUUGUAAAUGUUCAUAUCGUUUUCUACAAAUUUCAUCAUACUUUAGAUAGUUUGACUUCAGACAAAACUAAUAUGAGGAGUAAAUAAAAUCAGAGGGGUACCACUCCUAGUAAUUAAUGUGUAUAUCCACUAGCUGCUGAUUGACAUUCAAAUUCUCCACUUGACGAUGGCCAGAGUAUCUGAUAUUCAAACUCUCCACUUGGCCACCUUAUUUCUUCUCCCCAAAUGAGCUAUGAACUGCUCAUUCAUCCAACAUUAAAAUCACUGUGAUGAAACUCUACUCUUUCAGUUUCAUAAUUAGUGCAUAUAGUUUUUCCCCAAAAAACUAAACUUUGACAAAGAUUAUAAAUAAAAAGUCUAUAUCUAGCACAUUGAAUACAUACCAAUAGAUUCGUCAAAAAUAUUUGCAUAUAUUAUAUGAUGGUAUUGUGGAUAUACAUAGAGUUAUCUAUAAACUUGGUCAGAUUUUACAAUGUUUGACUUUUCUAUAAAACCAAUAUGCACUACACUAGGGGAUGGAGGGAGUAUCGUAUGAAAUAUUAUGUGGAAUUAUUCCGUUUCAGACAAUGUUUGGUAUCAAACACAACAGGUACAAUGUUCUAUAGUUUCUCCAAUGUGCAGAAUUAUUAGUUGAAUUGGCAAUUAUUUACAGGAGGGGAGUGCGCUGGUGUGACCGAAAACUAAGUGGAUCGAUGUAUAACAAGCUUCUUUUGGUCGGCAUCAAGACGGUGUUCCUCAUUGUCCGAAUCGAGGACCGGAGUGCAGUAAAUUUUACCAAUCUAUGAUGCGCUCUGGGUGGAUGAAACUGCUCCAAAAGUUGCCCGAGUUCAACGACUCUGUGGUGACCUACGAAUCCGGCGAGCGGCAGAAGUUGCAAGACGUCAGGUAUGAUAUCGUAGGCAACAAUAGUGACCAGUGGAGUGACAUCCUCGACACACCCAAGGGCACCCGCACCUUUAAGCUUCCCUACCCGAUGUACUAAAUCGGCUAGGUUGAAUGCUAGCUAAUCGUCCACGAAUAAGCUCCAUGUUGUUCACUAUCCAUGCUUUGUGAUUACCUUUUUUCCGGGCAUGCUUCCUCAAUACUAAUCCACUAUUACUGCUAGUUUUCUAAUUUCUAUUGAGAAAUCUAUUGCUGCUUGGUUAAAUUCCAUAGUUGGGACCUUGAGUCAGUUACUAGUAUUAAUAAGGUAUGCUACAAAGAAAUUGCAUCUUGCAUAAUCAAUGAAUCGAUGCUCCAUUUUUCCUUGAUUAUAUAAUAUAUGUAGUUUCUAUUUUACACUUUGAUUUAUUUAUUUUUUACUUUUAAUAUUUCCUUUUUUUUCAUUUUCUAGUUUUAUGUUUUAUUUUUUUAUUUGAUCUCCCUUAUGUAUUUAUUUUCUUAUUUUAUUCUUUAGAAUGCUUUCUAUUUGUAAAAAAUAAUGAAUUUUUCCAUACCCUAAUAGUUAAAAACAAUUCCGGGAUAUUAAAAUUACGAUGAACAAGGUCCUAAUAUACGUCGAGAUUUUCCCAAAUACCUGAUGAAUAGUUUUUAUAUGUUUAAGUACAUUUAUAAUUUUGUAAUUACACCAUCAAAUUUAAAUAUAUUUUAAAUAUUUGUUGAAUGCACAAAAAGCAUUUACUAAAUAAUUCGGAACAUUUGCUAUUACAUUGUGAACAUUUCUAGAAUACACAUUGAACAGUUUCCAAACCAUGAUGACUUUUCUAAAUAUGCAUUAUAAAAUUUUCAGUUACACGAACUAAACUGUUUUACCCUGAAUUAUUAUUAUUUUUAAAUUUGUUUUUUCUUAGAAUUAUAAAUAAAAUUAAAUUGAAGUGUUUCAGAGUAUAAAGGACAGAACGGGUAAAAACAAUGACAGAAAAAAUAAAAAUUGCAUUGGGUCGGGUCAUUGUGGAAUACUAUGGGCGAGCCCAAAGGAGUGUUCAUUACUGGUGAAUUAUAGUAGCAACGUGAGGGAAAGUGUGCUUCUCAGCCCGAGCUCAAAUGAGCUCUGGUGAACAGUAAAAUCCAAAAAUAAUUAAAAAAAUAUGAAAUUGUUUGGUGAAAGAAAUUGAAAAUAGUCGUAACUGCCUCCAAAAUUGUAUUAUGAAAUAACAUUUAUUGAAGCCAUGGAGAAAACAAAAUCGAUACUCCAAAAUGCUUUUGAAAUUAGUAUUUUCAGAGUAUCGAUUUUGUUUUUUUGCCACAUGUCACACAAAUGUGAUUUUCUGAUGAAAUCUUGCAAGAUAUUAGAACUUUUGCCAAUGUUUAUCACAAAAAAAAAUAGAUUUUUCUGGAUUUUUUUAAUUUAGUUUUGAUUUUACUGUUCAUCAAAGCUCAUUUGAGCUCGGGCUGAGAAACUCCACAUCCCAACGUGAGCGCCUAUUUGGUGUCGUGCUCAUUUCUGGUAGCCGACAAACUGAGUGGUUUUGUGCGUGACGUAAAAGACACAAAACAAUCAGGGCACUUCGAAGGAAUCAACGUUGUGUCCUUUCACAGGGAAUGCGUGAUGCUAGUUGCUGGCCACUCGUGCCAACAAUUUUUGCUAAUAGAAACACAACAACAAUGUGCAGGAAAUUACUGCAGCGGUGAAUUCCAAAUAUUUUCUAAAGUACACAAAUAUUUCAUCAAAUCUGAACGUUUUUUGAAAAAUCACAGUAUUUUUAAGAUGCCCAAUAUUUUUUUUAACUUUUCAGAAUAUUUUAAAUUUCAAACUUUUUUUUUAAAUUGCCAAACAUGUUUUGAAUUUGUGGACAAAACUUUUGAACAGAGAAACAGUUUUACAACAUCUGAAACCUUUUUUGGAACGCAAUAAGUUUUUCCAAAUUUCCAAGCAUUUACAGAAAAUGGAACAUAUAUUGACCAUUUCCAAACAUUUUUCAAAAACAUGAAUACUUUUUGAUUUAUGAACAUCAUUUCAAAACAGGAACAUUUUUUGAUAAUUCUGAACUAUGUUAGAAAAUGCGAACAAUUUUUGGACGUUUGUUGAGAACCCAAUCAUUUUUAGAAGAAAAACAAUUAUUAAAGUUUCAGACAUUUUUUUACUUGUGAAGUAAUGACCAAAGAAAACCAUAAAAUGUAAAACAACCGAAAAUAAGGAAAAAAGGAAAGAAAAAGUUGAAAAAAAUAAAAAUAUGAAUAAUAAAAAAUAAUAAAUUCUGGAAAGCAGUGAAAAAUAAAUCACAAAACGGAGACCAGUUUAUACGUCCUGCUGCUAUAUGACAAAGUAAAAAAUCUAAAAAGAAAAUCCCACAACAAAAGCUAUUUGACAUACCGAGCGUCAUAUAGAAAAUUCAAACAACAACCACCACAGAACGCUGAUACAGAUGACGGGCAGGUGGAUGUUUCUCAGAAUCAGAUUUUGAAGAAUCAUGAGGCGAAAAGAACUGGUGCCUGCAAUCGGCCGUGGCAUGUACACAGGUGCUAGUAAUGAUAUAAAUCACGGAUAUUGAUUUUGAAGGUCGAGCUCCAUGGAGGUCUUUGAAUGCAAAAUUCAAAAUUCAUGAAAAUAUUUUUUUUUUAUAUUUCGAAAAAUUCCGUAACAAAUACAGAGAUAGAUGAAGGCAUAAUACACAAGUGUGUAAAUUUUUAGGACCAAAUACGUUGAAAUAAGGCUGUACAAAAAAGGCAAAUCUGAGGUUGUUUAACACAUGAUACUAUUCAUCCUCUCGGAACAUGAUUUUAUAUUUUUAUACAGGUUGCAUUUCAACGUAUUUCAUCCUUGUUUAGUUUUAUAAUUGUUUUCAAAAAAUCUGAGGAUGAGGCAUAUGUCUCACAUCCUUGUUUAGUUGUAUAAUUGUUGUAAGAUUUUUUUUUUAAUUUUGAACUUUUCAAAAAAUCGGCCUCGGCCAAAACGCCUUUCUCUAUAAAUCGUGAUUUGUAUACUGGUAAGAAGAAUGAAGCAAUGCAUAUUCAACUAAACAAACUACAUAUUGUCUUGAAUUCACUCAUUUGGAAUCUAGCUAGAAAGGGUGCUUUUUAGGUGCCCAGAUUUUUUAAUUUUUUUGAGGGAAGUGACGAGGUUCUUGGGAAGAAAAGAUUUAACAGAUUCAUUGGUUUUCACAAAGAGAGCAAAUCAAUAUGAGCGCAGAAGCAAUCGAGUUUUGCCAUUAUUAAGCAACAACAUGACAUACAUGAUACAACUAGAGGUACAUAUAGCUAAAUUAGCGGAAGCCCUUUGUAUUGGUACUGCUCGCCGAGCUCCGCGAGCAGAUCGUUUUCCGCCUUGAGUAUGUCGCCCAUGUUGUCCAGCAGGAGGUACUUGUCCAGCGAGAAGCCCGACUCCGGCGAGAUGAGCGCCGCGACGUUUCUCAGGAACUCCUCGUCUAAUGGGGCAAGGGGCUCCCACUUUUGUCCCGACGUCAGCAGCGGCUUCUGAGGUCGCCGCCUCACGACCUUCAUUUUCUUCUUCUUCAUCGUCAUCCUCCUCUUCUCCCCUCUUGCGGGCGUCGGCGACUUCGCCCCCGCCUCCGUGUUCUCACACGAUGAACUCGCCAUGAUUCUUCUCCCGUCCUUCUUCCGCUGAGAAGAUUGGUCUGCUCUGCUGGUUUCGCAGACUUGCGUGCUCGCCGGCACCGGUAUAAAUACAGCAAAAAUAAGAGAUCGAUGAUUCAUUUCUUGGCUAGGGGAGCAGUUCGUUGUAUCCGACUCGUAUUCAGUCCACGGUUCCGGUUCCUACUCCCGCAUGGUCGACGCAUCGGUUGGGAUCCUAAUUGGGACGGCCCAAUGGUAGGUUAUUUUAUAGUAUUUUUAUGUAUAUUGUCUAUAAGGACGUUACUGCAUCAAAAAGAAAAGUAUAAUGGCUCUGCAUCUAGUCUAGUUGCUGAAGCGUGUGCGUCGAACAGCUUCCCCAUCGCUUAGUGACAGUUCAUGAAAUCGUGUGCGAUGACCAUUUCUAUGGAUUUUUUUUGCAUGAUAAUAUGUGUCUCAUUUAUAUCAUAAUGAAAAUAAUACAAGACCAUUGUUGUGGAUUAUAACAACACAUAUACACAGCCAAAUACAAACCCUACGGUCUUGGUCACAAUAUAGUGGUACAGGUGUCCAUUAGGACAUAUGUCCGUGUGUUGCAACGGAAAAAAAAUUAAUUUGUAUUUGCAAGCACAACACGUCAUGCUCCGCUACGAAAGAACGCUAGUUACCACAUGACCAAAACGACCAUCGAUGCAUCACUACAUCCAGAGAGUGUCACCACCUGCAGGGAGGCGCACGUCAAAGCCUUCAACAAACGCGGGGACUAUGUUACUCCCUUUGUCAGACAUUAUUAGGCUGGUGGACCACUUAGCCUCAGCCGGACAUUAAUCAUGAAGUGAGCCUUAGCGCAGAUGGUAAAGAUAUCUUCAACGUGACGAUGUGGCGUUGUGGCUCCCUGGCCCAGAUCUUCCCACCAAUGAAUAGUAAAAUCGACAAAAAAUAGAAAAAAUGAUUUUUUUUUUUGGAGUGCAAGAUGUUCCUUUGGGUGAUGUCAAAAACUGCUUGGAGCUGAUUUUUAUUUUUUUUUGCCAGACGCUCCUCGAAUGUCCAAAUACCUCGAAAUUUUGCAGACAUUUUAGCAUCUUAUGAGCCAAAAAGGAUUCAGAUUUUUUUGAUAUUGUGCUUUUCACCGGAUGCAGAUGAGCCGGGGACCAUUUUGAUUAUUAUUAUGGCUAAUCUAGUUUAAAUGUGUCAUUGUUCAUGUAGCCCACAAUCAUUUUUUCUUUUAUUGUUUGAACACACCACGUCCUUCAUUUCUUUUAAAGGUUUCCUUGCAUGUCUGCUCGUCGUGCAGUUCAUUCCUUUUAAUUGUCAUUCCUUUUAAUUGUCCGCUUUUAGCAUCCAUUUUUAACUGUCUUGCUGAUAUUCCAAGCAAACCGCAAGGUAUAUAAACCGGUAGGGAUCUAUCUAAAGAGGCAAGGUGGGUUUAUUUAACAUAAAAUAUUGAUGUCGAGUUAUUUUUAAAAAAACAGCCUCAACUUUAUUAAUUAGAGAUAAUUGUUACAUCGUCUAUUAAAAAAGAUACAAUAUUUUCCAAAGGCUCCUCAAUCCACUCACUCGUAUCAGAACUCUUUGCUAAUCUAGCAAGCUCAUGUGCUACUUCGUUCGCUUCUAGUAAAAAAAAUUCAGAAGCCAUAGAAAAACAAUCCUCAAAGGUUGCAGCCGCCGCUCCCGCAUAGUACCCUCCCUUGUUCAUUGUUUCAAUUACUUCCGAGAAUAUUGAUGUAGAGUUGGUUAGUGCAGUUGCCUUACCCUGGACAUGGAGUAUUGAGUUUAAUCUUCCAUAAAUACAUAUUUUUGUACACGUUGUUCGUGGCCCAUGGCAGACGGCCCAAUAUUGUAGCGAAGCCCAGCAGUGCAGCAACCUGACAUGGUACGAUAGAUGGUGAGGUGUAUGCGUGCUAGCAACGUAAGAAAACGGCCAGGGAGAGGCAAUGUAUGUACAAUAUUUUUAACCAUGGAUUCAAGCUCGUAAAAUUUUGAGACUUUUCCAUAAAACUGUAUGACAGACUAAGAAUACAUAUUUUCUUAAUUAGUAGGUAUAGAUGCGGCAAGUGGAUUGUUUCCUGGUUUUGGGAAGUUUCCAUAAGCUUUUCAGACGGUUUUUCAUUUUUUCUAUUUUGGGGUUUUCCUGUACCAAUCUUGUCUAUUUUUUAUUUUCUACUUAUUUUCAUUUUGCUUUAUUGCAUAUUCUUUUACUUUUUUUCAUUUUCCUUUUUCUAUUUAAUUUUGGCAAAACACGAAUUGUUUCAAUUUUAUGAUACUUUUUUUAAUUGAGGAACUCCUUUUCGAACUCGUUUUUUCAAGUUCAUCAUUAUUAUUUUUUAAAAUUAUCACCUUUUUAAAAAAUAUAUGAACUAUUUUUAAUGUUUGUGAACGCUGUCUCAAAAUUGAUGAACUUUUUUCCUAAAUGCUGAAGUUUAUUUUAAAACUGAUGAACUUAUUUUAAUAUUUGAUGAUCUAAUUUUAAAACCGGAGAAUGUUUUUGCAAAAUAGACGAACUGUUUUUCUAGCAUAUGUACCUUUUGAAAAUUCAUGAACUUUUUUUCAAUUUUUGGGCUUUUUUUAAAAGUUGAUGAGCUUUAUUCAAAAUCGUGAAAUAUUUUCCAUCUAUGUGCAACCUCUUUUUUCAAAAUCAUGAACAUUUUCGAAUUGAUGAACUAUUAACAGAGAUUAUACGCAUGACCUUUUUUGAAUUCGCAAACUUUUUGUUGAAAUAUCUGCAUUCUAUUUGAUUUUCUGAUUAUUAUUUUCAAGCUAGCGAGCGUGCUCGUGGGCUCACCCAUGCUAGCAAUGGUGCGAGCUGGCACUGGCGCAAAACGCGUCAAUUAGGAAGAGCAACUAAUUAAGGAGUACUCGUCCGAGAGCCUCUCGAAGGGUCCAUUGCCACGUGUCGUACUCUUGGUGUUUCCUUUGGAUUUUUUUCUAUACAUAUUUAUGUCUGGAAUUUUGGCUUUAAGAUGAUUUUGUUUUCCGGGUUUUUUUGGCUUUUCCGUUUACCCCCGAUUUUUCUUACAAUUUAGACCCAAAAAUAAGAUUUUAAAGAAAAAUCACAAAAAAAUGCAUUUUCUCUUUCUUUUUUCCUACCCUGAGAGACAUGGAUUUGCUUCUCUUAGAGGCACAUGUGCCUCCUGAAAAAGCAAAAAAAAUGUUUUUUCCUUCCGCGAGGCAAGGUCGUGCCUCUCAGAAAAGAAAAAAGAUCCAUUUUUCCUUUCACGGAAGUACGGAUUUGCUUCCCUGAAAGGCCUAGUCGUGCAUCUUGAAAAAGGAAAAAUGCAUGUUCUCAUGAAGGAAAACAACGUGGUUUUAGUUUGGUUUUUUUGUUUGAUUUUUUCGUGAAAAAAAGUCCAACGAAACAUAUCAACAUGUGGUCUAGUUUUUAAGAUCUCGACGCAUGGAAUCUAACGGCAAAACCAGUUCUAGAUUUGGACGUAGGUUUUGAGAGAUAAAAUGUUUUGAAUAAACAAAUCUGCGAAAAAGGAAAAACCCUUAGGUUGCUACAAGUGACGCACAUGCAGUUGAAGACUUGUCGCACCCUGGGUUGGGGGAGUGAUCUUUGCCAAGAGUAGUUUUCAAUUAGUGAUUUCGCUAAUUAGAAGCUCGCAUCAUCUCCGAUGCGAGCACUAGUGGAUCAGCCCAUGUGCGCUCAUAUGGGUUUUUUGGAGCGGCUUUUGGAAGCUUCUAUGGAGCUGUUUAGACAAAUUUGAAAACCUUUCAUUCAUUUUUUAUGUGUUCACUAUAUAGAUUUACAUGGACUAAAGUAAAAUGUAGAUUUACAUUAUUUUUUCCCUUAGUUUUCUUUGUGUGUUUUUAUUCAUUUUUUGAAUACACAUGGAAUUUUUGGAAAUACAGUUCGAAUAUUUUUUGUUUACAUGUUAUUUCUUUUAUACACGUUGAUGAUUUUUGUAGACACAUUUAAGUGUUUUCCAAAAUAAACAGUAUUGAUUUGUCAAAUGAACAUUGGAUUUCUUAUGAAUAUAAGGUGAACAUUUAUGAAACACCCAUUGAACAUUUAGAAAAAUUCCAUGAACAUUUUUUUCUUAAAGCAUGCAAAACAGUUCUUAAUGUUAGAACAUAUUUUUUAAUGUCAAAGACAUUUUUGUUGAAUGGUACAAAAUAUUAUUUAAAAUUACAAGACCAUUUUUACAUACUAGAAACAGUUGUGGAAAAUGUUAUGACCAUAUUUUUGAAACGGCUGAAUAUUGUUUAAAUUUCAUAAAUAUAUUUAGAAUGGUAUGUCAAAAGUUUAAAAAUAUGUGAAUAUUGUUUCUACAUUGUAUAAAAAAUUUAAAAACUGUCAUGAACAUAUUUCUGAACACAUGAACUAAAUGUCAGGAACAUUUUUCGAAUGGUACAAACAUUUUUAAAAUUGUGGAGACAAUUUAUUACACUACAUGAACAUUUAUUUGAAACACGCAAUGAACAAGGGGUAAGGGACACGUGUCAUGUGCUUUGCUAGCGCAUCGUGGUUGCUGAGUGUCUCAUUCCUUUGUUGUUGAGUUUUGUUUUAGUGCGGAGUGUUUUUACAGUAUACUCGAGAAAGAUCCUACGUUACGAAGGAUGUGUUUGGUAGGCGUUUCUAGCGGGACUGGCUCGUGGACAUUGGCUCAACAAAGUUUGGUUGAGAUAAAACGAUCAUAAAACUAACAUCUGCAUUUAGUUUGGUUGCCGGCAUACAUUCUAAACUGAAUGGGGUGUCAUGAAAGACAUACUAUUUGGUUGUCUGUUUGUGUAUGCGCAAACACAAGGCCUACUAUUUGGCUGCAUGCAACACUUGUUGUGAGAUAACCUCUUCGAUGCGGUGGUGAGGUUACCAUCACAUAGCGGCGUCAGGAAGAACACACAACAUAACAUAGUAGUAAGCAGUUAUAAAUAUUGUGUCACAUUUAAAUAGAUUAGUUUAAAUGCAAAGCAGUUCAAUAUUAAACUAAAGCAACUAGAGCAUAUGAGCGGUUGUCCUAGACGUUCACAACGAAGGCAUCGUCAUGUCUCCCGCACCAGGCCACCACUUUACUGCCAUCGUCAUUGAAGACGAUGACCUUCACCAUGUCGGGAGUCAUCAACUGUGACCAUGAAGCCUAUCUUGAUUUGUUGGACGGCGACGAAGGUGGCCCAAACCUGGUCGAGGGUGACCCUUUCGUUCAACAGACGGACAAUGACCCUCCUAGAGCACUCGGUGUUCGCCUUCAAAUUGAACUCCUGUGGCAUAGACGGGAAGUGCUUCAUGAAGUCGAGUGGCAUAGGUAUGGCCUCGAGUGGCAUGAUUACCUUGCAGAAGUUAUUUGGCUCACCCAUCUCAUGGUAGUGGUCGUAGUUCUGACGCUUGUCGCUGGGGGGCUCCUCCGCGUAUCGUUGUCCGUGACCGGGCUCUGGACAGGCGCCACCUUUGAGGGCGGCACAACAUCCUUGCACUUGUAUUGCUCCUUUGGUGGCACCACCUCAUUGCCCUUGUUCUCCGUGUCGAUUUGCAGUGUGAAGAGGUUCAAACGAUUGGGUCAGGAUUUGCAAUAUGAACAUUGCAUCAUUGUCAUUAACUUAUUGUCGAGAACCCCAUUAUUUACCUAGGCUGAUGGUUACCACUUACCCACCACCUAGUUGUUUGUCUCUCUUCCUCCAACCCAAUGCCAUGAACUCUAAGAACAAGUCUAACCCCAUCCGCAACCCCUUUCCUUGGGGCAUUGGAUGGAGGGCCUUCUUCCUAGGGUGCUCGCUCGAUGACCGCACCAAGUUUGAGAACACCAUGAAAGUGUGUUCAAACUUCAACAGCUUGGAGGAGCAGUACAAAGAGUAGGACGCUAUGGUGAAGAAGGCGAGUCGGAGGAGUUGAAGACGCUGAUCAGUGACCCAAUGAAGGGUUCUAUGUGAGCCGACAUACUUCAUUGAGCCAUGAAUCAAGCCGUCCCCGGCGACGCUGGACAGAGGGAAAACUGAGCCAAGUACAGACAGCAUCGGUGUUCUUAUGACCACGGGGCCGCAACGUACUUCACCACAAAGAUUAUGGUGGUGCCGGUGGAGGAGCAUCAAGAAGUGCUGGCUAUGGAGGUGGAAGAGGAAGAUGCAGUGGCGACGAUUGUGAGGGCGCUGGAGCUAGGACACCUAAGCAUGCCAAUCAAGUUGGACUCCGGCGAGGAAGAAGAUAUGGUGGUGUAGGUCGAGGAGAAGACCAAGGCCAAGGCUACCCACCGCUCCAAUCGCCUCCAGGGUCCUGUGUACUAUGUAAGAUGAACCCUAAUCCCCAUUCCGAUUGUACUCAAUCCUGAUUGGGAACCUCAUAUCUACCCGUAGUCAUGACGAUGUUAUGACCACUCCUAUGGUGUUUACCCCGAUUCCCCAUUCUCCUAACAUGGAUCGAACCUAAACUCGGAUCAAAUGCAAAGUAGUACAUGAGGAGGGGGGAAAGUGCUUACCGCCAUUGCCGAAGUGCUGCUGUGGAUGCCGGUGAAGAGGCCGGAGUCGAUUUGCUGUUCCUCGAUCUGAUGCACGCCAUCGCCGCCGUCGGUGAGAGUAGGGAGAGUGGAAAGAGAGCGGUGAGAAAAGGUAAGGGUAAUGACUGUCGACGCUUCGGGAAACAACGCGGCUUCUCAAGGGUGGCUCCCCUUGUGCAACCCCUGCCGCCCACGUGCAUCGCAGAGGCCUGGCUCGCGAGAAACUACCAAUUCGAACGUGCCUCGCGAGACAUACCCAGACAUGCUUUAAAGUUCGUGACAUGCAGGCCCAACAAUGUAUGUUGACAACCAAUCAGUUUGUUUUCUUUCCACGGGCCUGGUUGGACCUUAUGCGGGCAACCAAACGCAUCCCCAAGUGUUGUUUAUUUGUCGGAAUUUUCUAAGGUACUGGGCAAACGACAUGUGUACUGAGUGCCCAUGAAAUUACACCAGGCAAACUGUAAAAUACUCAGCGUAAUUUUUUUCCUGUAGUUGUACAAUUGGCUGCGCUGCAGUUCCAAAUUUGAUAAAGUUACAAGGUUGGUGUACCAGAAAUUCAUUAUCUACCAAUCAUCAAUAUGUAUGCACAAAACAGUUGCCUGUCUGGGCCUUUGUAUCAACGUCCAUCCAUGUGUAACACGUUCAGCGGAACCGUCUACCAAACGUCUGACAGACACAGACACGUGCAUAUCCUCCAAACCGGGCAGGCUGGUUGCUUGCGCCCUCGUCGCUUUCUUGUCGAACUGGCUCCAUAUAUAGACUAAUGCACACCACAGUUCAAUUUCCAUUUUCGUUUCAGUCAUCGUACAUAUGACUGCAUUAUUCAGCUAACGUUUAAGCAUAGGGAUUUUUAUUUUCAUGUCCCGUCUUUCUUAGUUAUGAUUAGUUUUGCCCCGUUCAUUUAACAUUGCUCACUUUUUUCCCUUCUUUACUCAUCUACGCCUCGUAAAAGAUCAAACGGUGUGUUGACAUUGGGUUAGACCAGGGGCGGUCCUCAGAUUUUGGGGGCCCGGGGCUGGAUUAAAAGCCGGGGCCCUUAAUAUAGACAUAAUAACAAUAACACUGAAUAUACGUACCGGUGAAAUAUAAACACUUAAAUACGUCUAAUACUAAUAUGCAUAUCAAAUGUUUUAAAAAUAUUACCUCAAACAAUAAUUCUGACAUACCUUGAUGCAAAGGCCAUUAUGAUGGCGUCGAUGUUAAUAGCGUCCAAUAAUUUCUUCUCGAUGACAUAAUGUCACCAGACCAUAUAAACACUCUUGGUUCAUCGGUGACCUCACAUAGUUCUUCAAUCAAUAUUUCCAACUUCAGAGAGCUUCUUCCGACCAAUACGAUAGUCACAGGCAUAGUAAAUAGGAUGCAAUAAGCAAUGGAAAUAUCAGGAUAACAGCCAACUUCUAUUGACAUGCUGCAAAUCUCCAUUGCAGAUAUUACAGUCAUAUGGCAGAAUGAAUCCCACAAUUUUUAAUUUAGAAGUAAGAUCAUACUCCCUCCGUUCCUAAAUAUAAGACCUUUUAAAGAUUGCACUAUAAACUAUAUAGGAUGUACAUAGACAUAUUUUAGAAUAUAGAUUCACUCAUUUUGCUCCGUAUGUAGUCUCCUAGUUGAAUCCCUAAAAGGUCUUAUAUUUUAAAACGGAGGGAGUAUAUCUCAACAUCAUGAUACACAAUGCUGACAAAUAACAUUAAUUGUUGAACAAUAUCGAUGUACCGGCGAUGCAUCUACAGAAGCACAAUAAGAAUAUAUGAUAUACGUACCUCGGAUGGCUGAAUCAGCCAUGACGGAAAAUCAAAGCCGGAUUAUAGGACGCCCCGACGAAUUGAAAUCGACGGCGCGCAGCUGAUGAUCUAAAUUAGGAAAGAAAUUAGGUUUGGGAGAAAAGUAGAAAGGAGGGUCGAGCACGCAGUGGCGAACAGACGAUGCGUCGGCGGCCGCUAGGAAUCGCUGCGUCAAUGCGAGAUGGAAUAGGAAGGGAUCAAUCACUCCUAUUUUUUCGUGAAAAAACGGAAGGAACGGUUGCUGCCUUUGUGCCUCGCUGGACUGCUGGGUGCAUGUUUGCCUGCAUGCUACGUGAGGCCCAGUCAACCAACCCGAUAGGUCAUUUUUUUCUGAUCUGUAAAAACAUUAAAUAUGUUUGGACAAAGCCUAUGUACAUACGUGGGGAGGGCCCCCUAAACUUUGGGGGCCGGGGCGGCCGCCCCCCCCUGCCCCUCCCCUCGGCCGGCCCUGCGGUUAGACUACCAACAAUGAAAGUAACAUAGGUGGUAACAUAGAUAUCAUCUAAACAACAAAUGUGAUGUGGCAACUAAUUAAAGAAAAGUAAGAGAAAUUGAAUAACUUAGCAUGUUACUCAUAUUAGGAGUAACAUAGCGGAUACCAAGGCAAGAUGGGUGUAUAGGCUAAUAAAUAAAAGACUCAAUGUUACUACCCCUAUGUUACUAUCCACUAUGGAGGUAGUAACUUAGAUUAGUAACAUAUGUAUGUUACUCCCCAUUGGUCUUUCAGCGGCGUUCAGAGACUCCUUCAUAUUAUUAGACAUAAUUAUGUCUAGAGACACAACACACGAGGCUAUACGUAAAUCACCCUUAGAAUACCAGCGAGCUCUCGUUUAACCUACGGACCCGAUGGGCCAUGUUAAGACUGGUAUGAAUACCAGCAAGCUCGCUGACAAGGAUCCGACGACUCCAUUACCCCUCGCAUCGCUUAGAGAAAAAACCCGAUACAAGUCACCCCCUUGACUUGAUCUGGAAUUAUCUGCGAGAUGCCAUCUAUGCUCUCAUCUAUCAACAAUUUCAACACAUGUUCUGCCGGAGUUUUGGUGCUUGGAAACCAUGAGCAAACCGCUUGUCACUUCUCCCGUGAGAGAGCGUCACCGGCACAGAACACCUCCAAUGGUUUCGUGAUUGCCGAUGGCGGCUGCAGGAUUGGGGGAGGUAGGCUGCUCGGGCUGCGGGGGAUGCGAAUUGAGAGAGAGAGAGAGAGAGAGAGGGAGGGAGAGGGAGAGGAAGAGAGAGAGAGAGAGAUUUCGUCCCCCUUUUUAGGACAAAUGACCCAACCAUCCACUAGCCGGUCCCACAUGUCAGCAUUUCAUGUCAGUCCCAUGCGUCCACGCGUCAACACCGGACGAAGUAACGGUCAACAGUUUUGACCCGACGGUGAGGCAUUGUUUGGCCUUUUGCGAGACGGAGGCGAGUAGAGGAGGGAGAAAAGUGAGUAAUGUUAGACGGACGAGGCAAACUGAGCACAACUAAGUAACGAUGGACGAGGCAACUUACGUAAAACCAGCUACAAUUAUAAUAGCUUUCGAUGUACACCCGUGUGAUCACCAGCCAUCUAACAACCUUUGCCGACAGUUGUCCUUCAUCCACAAAGACAACAUCAUCCAAAUAAUUCACUUGCAAUCCAGGUUUCUCUAUCAUCUCUUUGGACAUUGUGAUAUUUACUAAUUCCCGAUCCAGAGGUCUCAUACGCCAUGGCGAUGUCAUGACCAGUCUAGGAGAAGAAGCACCUCGUAAACUAGAGCGGAACAGAACCUGGGUUUUCUAGGCAUGGCCUCUCGAUAAGAAGUUGAGAAGAUUAUGGCUGAUACAUGGUGAGAUAGGAUGAGGUGUCUACGCUGCCAUACGACAAAACCCUAGUAACAGGGGAUGCUUUAUCUGUGUUAUUUUUUAAUUAAAUCACAUGAAUAAUUGGCCGUGUGUAUGUAAUUCUAUAUUAAUAUAAUAGGACACAAAGAGGCAGGUCCAUAUCAUCUCGGCCAACAAAUCUAAGAUUUGAUGGUUCAUGUUGAGCACCAAGAGACGAAAACCGCUCGCGUCGCCUCCAGGGGGCGACACGGGCGCCCUAGCCGCCGUCGCCCUCGACCUCCCUCCUCCCCCGCUUCCCCGCCGUUGCCGGAGGAGGCCGGCGAGCGAAGCUCGCCCGGCGGACGACGGACGGCGGGCCUUCCUCCCUUCUUCACGAGGGGGUCCUUUGGCUGAGAUGCGACGGCGCCCCUGGGGGUACAACAUGGAGGCGGAGUUGGCGUGCUCGGGCGGCGUGGGAUCCCGGCGGCGCUGCGGGGGCUGGCGGCGGCGGAUCUGGGGUUCCCCACCCCAGAUCGGUUCUCCUCCGGGUGGUCGGGCUCAGGCGCCGUCCAGCGGCCCUAAGCGGUGGUGGACGCGCGCGUUGACUGUCCUCCUUCACAGAUGUGAUUGGAAACGACAGGAGGUGUUGGCGUGCUGCUAGAUCUGAACAAGGUGAUGGCGUCAUCCCCUUCAUCAGGGAUGACGACCAGGUGGUGGGUUCUUGUGGCGUCGCCGGUGGCGGCGGAUCUUGGGAUCCAGUUCCCGGGGACGUCGUGGGAUGUGGUGGCCCGUGCAGGAGAGAUGGGUUCUUCGAACAGAUCUGGGUCAAAGCUUGCUUUCGGCUAUUGCUAAGGUCGGCGAUGGCGGCGCUGUCUACAUCGUUCCCUUCCUGAAGGCAUCGCCGAGGAGAACUUCAGGGCCACUCUCUGCUACCUCCUGGGGUAACCCUAGAUCAGUAGAUCGGAUGACGGCGACGCUCUGGUGUCAUUUCCCCCUUGGGGGCGUCAUUCAUGGUGGUACACACGGGCUCGAGGGACCAUUGGUCGGCAUUUACGAUGGAGCAGCGUUCCUAGUGACACAUCGACGUUGUGGAGUCUCGGCGGCGAGGCGCGGCAAAGUCUCGGCAAUGAAUGCAUGAUGAUGAGCACGCGUAGGGAGGAGGCGUUGUCUGGCGCCGUGGGGGCAUCGAUGGCAGGCCUUGCAAGGUCGAUGCGUCAGUAAUUUUUCUGAAGAUGGAUUGAUGGAAGGCGGCGACGACGACCUAUGAGGGUGCGUCGGACCGUUUGUGCCCCUGACCCGGUAUGUGGCUCUGUCGGGGCCUCCGGCUUUAGAUGUUAGGCUAGGUGAGAGGUCUGGGUAUGUGGCUCACACUUUCUGCACCCCCUUCAUCAUUGUAUAUGAGUAGCGACAGAUGUUGCCAAGAGGACGGCUUCAGACAUACGCUUAACACUCUAGCUAAUUGACCACCAGUAGCACGGGAGAGGUGUUUUGGCUCCCGGGUAUAUGCACUCGGAUGAACAGUACUGCGAAAAAAGUUCUAAUUUUUUUUGUAGAUGAUUGUAUUAGUGUCGCAAAUAUGCAUGACAAUUUUCGUGCGAUAAGGAGCAACGGUGUUUCAUCAGCAAAAAAGACAAAUUUAGGAUGACAUUUUGGGGUAACUUUUGGUGUUCAAUUUGUUUUUCUUGCACAAACCAAAAUGUUUUAUCUUUUUGUCUCAAAAUUUACAAGUAGUAUUUGGAUGUGACAAAGCAUACAAACAAAUUUUGUCUCAUUUUUUUCCAUUUCAAACUUUUUUUUGGCCCCGAAAGCAUAUGCCGGGAGCCGAAUUGCAUUUCCGCCGGUAGCACUAGUUACAUACACACUAGACUCCGCGCAAUCCCAUGAAAUCUGUUUGGCGAUUAACAUACGGCUAAAUAUCAACAUGCAAAUAUUAUCUUACCAAAUGUACCAAAUGUGUAACUAGUAUCUUAAUUCUACUCCCUUCAUAAACUAAUAUAAAAACAUUUAAAAACAAUGCUUUAGUAAUCUAAACGCUUUUAUUUAAUUUACAAAAGGAGUGCUACCUAAUAUCAACAUGCAUUGCACCAACUCCCUUCAAGGUCUAAUGCGUUUUUAGGGUUGCCCUUGACUAUUGAUAAGAUUAAUAAUAUAUGAGAUCUAUGAUAAAGAGUCUUUUCACAUCCGAAUUUGACAAUAUACCUGUAACAUGCAAGUUAUAUAUAUAUAAUUGCUCUAACCCGUGGCCAAAGGAAAUCUUGCAAAAUGUAUCGGAUGAAGGGAGAACAUGAUAAUACCAGUCUAACAAAUAUAUCCUCUCCAAUCGCAAACAUUUAUCCCCUUGGAUCACAACCAUGCAUACCCCUUUUGAGUACUCCCUCCGUCCCAAAAUUAAUGUCGAGCAUGUAGUUCAUUGGGAAUUUUGCAAAAAAAAACCUCGUAUUUACAAAAUCGUCUCAAACAAGCACCUCCACCCCUAUCUUCUUCGUCCGUCCUCGCCCGUGCAUCGCGAGAGGCCGCGCCGUCGAACUGGAAGGGCUCCGCCGCCGUCGCCGCCAAUUACCUCCUCCAUCACCACAACCCAGAUCUGCGCCACCGGAUCUCUUCCCGCUGCAGUUACCUGUCGGCGUCGUUCUCGAGCUCCUGCCGGCGUCGGAACCUUCCGCCACUUCGUCCUCUGGCUCCCAUGCGUCAUCCUCGAGCUCCCGUGCAUCCUCCCCAAGCUCACGCGCAUCCUCGCUGGAAUCUCUACUGCUCCUUCUCCCUUGCAGCCGGUGUGCCUGCUUAUCCCCUGUCACCGGAGGAGCUCCUCUGCACGUACUUGUUGGAAUUAUGCCCUANNNNNNNNNNNNNNNNNNNNNNNNNNNNNNNNNNNNNNNNNNNNNNNNNNNNNNNNNNNNNNNNNNNNNNNNNNNNNNNNNNNNNNNNNNNNNNNNNNNNNNNNNNNNNNNNNNNNNNNNNNNNNNNNNNNNNNNNNNNNNNNNNNNNNNNNNNNNNNNNNNNNNNNNNNNNNNNNNNNNNNNNNNNNNNNNNNNNNNNNNNNNNNNNNNNNNNNNNNNNNNNNNNNNNNNNNNNNNNNNNNNNNNNNNNNNNNNNNNNNNNNNNNNNNNNNNNNNNNNNNNNNNNNNNNNNNNNNNNNNNNNNNNNNNNNNNNNNNNNNNNNNNNNNNNNNNNNNNNNNNNNNNNNNNNNNNNNNNNNNNNNNNNNNNNNNNNNNNNNNNNNNNNNNNNNNNNNNNNNNNNNNNNNNNNNNNNNNNNNNNNNNNNNNNNNNNNNNNNNNNNNNNNNNNNNNNNNNNNNNNNNNNNNNNNNNNNNNNNNNNNNNNNNNNNNNNNNNNNNNNNNNNNNNNNNNNNNNNNNNNNNNNNNNNNNNNNNNNNNNNNNNNNNNNNNNNNNNNNNNNNNNNNNNNNNNNNNNNNNNNNNNNNNNNNNNNNNNNNNNNNNNNNNNNNNNNNNNNNNNNNNNNNNNNNNNNNNNNNNNNNNNNNNNNNNNNNNNNNNNNNNNNNNNNNNNNNNNNNNNNNNNNNNNNNNNNNNNNNNNNNNNNNNNNNNNNNNNNNNNNNNNNNNNNNNNNNNNNNNNNNNNNNNNNNNNNNNNNNNNNNNNNNNNNNNNNNNNNNNNNNNNNNNNNNNNNNNNNNNNNNNNNNNNNNNNNNNNNNNNNNNNNNNNNNNNNNNNNNNNNNNNNNNNNNNNNNNNNNNNNNNNNNNNNNNNNNNNNNNNNNNNNNNNNNNNNNNNNNNNNNNNNNNNNNNNNNNNNNNNNNNNNNNNNNNNNNNNNNNNNNNNNNNNNNNNNNNNNNNNNNNNNNNNNNNNNNNNNNNNNNNNNNNNNNNNNNNNNNNNNNNNNNNNNNNNNNNNNNNNNNNNNNNNNNNNNNNNNNNNNNNNNNNNNNNNNNNNNNNNNNNNNNNNNNNNNNNNNNNNNNNNNNNNNNNNNNNNNNNNNNNNNNNNNNNNNNNNNNNNNNNNNNNNNNNNNNNNNNNNNNNNNNNNNNNNNNNNNNNNNNNNNNNNNNNNNNNNNNNNNNNNNNNNNNNNNNNNNNNNNNNNNNNNNNNNNNNNNNNNNNNNNNNNNNNNNNNNUGUUGGAAUUAUGCCCUAGAGGCAAUAAUAAAUGUGGUUAUUAUUAUAAUUCCUGUAUCAAGAUAAUAGUUUAUUAUCCAUGCUAUAAUUGUAUUGAAUGAAGACUCAUUUACAUGUGUGGAUACAUAGACAAAACACCGUCCCUAGCAUGCCUCUAGUUGGCUAGCCAGUUGGUCAAUGAUAGUCAGUGUCUUCUGAUUAUGAACAAGGUGUUGUUGCUUGAUAACUGGAUCACGUCAUUGGGAGAAUCACGUGAUGGACUAGACCCAAACUAAUAGACGUAGCAUGUUGAUCGUGUCAUUUUGUUGCUACUAUUUUCUGCGUGUCAAGUAUUUAUUCCUAUGACCAUGAGAUCAUAUAACUCACUGACACCGGAGGAAUGCUUUGUGUGUAUCAAACGUCGCAACGUAACUGGGUGACUAUAAAGAUGCUCUACAGGUAUCUCCGAAGGUGUUAGUUGAGUUAGUAUGGAUCAAGACUGGGAUUUGUCACUCCGUGUGACGGAGAGGUAUCUCGGGGCCCACUCGGUAAUACAACAUCACACACAAGCCUUGCAAGCAAUGUAACUUAGUGUAAGUUGCGGGAUCUUGUAUUACGGAACGAGUAAAGAGACUUGCCGGUAAACGAGAUUGAAAUAGGUAUGCGGAUGCUGACGAUCGAAUCUCGGGCAAGUAACAUACCGAAGGACAAAGGGAAUGACAUACGGGAUUAUACGAAUCCUUGGCACUGAGGUUCAAACGAUAAGAUCUUCGUAGAAUAUGUAGGAUCCAAUAUGGGCAUCCAGGUCCCGCUAUUGGAUAUUGACCGAGGAGUCUCUCACGUCAUGUCUACAUAGUUCUCGAACCCGCAGGGUCUGCACACUUAAGGUUCGACGUUGUUUUAUGCAUAUUUGAGUUAUAUGGUUGGUUACCGAAUGUUGUUCGGAGUCUCGGAUGAGAUCACGGACGUCACGAGGGUUUCCGGAAUGGUCCGGAAACGAAGAUUGAUAUAUAGGAUGACCUCAUUUGAUUACCGGAAGGUUUUCGGAGUUACUGGGAAUGUACCGGGAAUGACGAAUGGGUUCCGGGAGUUCACCGGGGGGGGCAACCCACCCCGGGGAAGCCCAUAGGCGUUGGGGGAGGCACACCAGCCCUUAGUGGGCUGGUGGGACAGCCCACAAGUGCUCUAUGCGCCAAGAGAAGAAAAAUCAAGAGGAAAAGGGAAAAAAAAGGAGGAGGUGGGAAAGGAGGAGGACUCCCUCCCACCAAACCUAGUCCAACUCGGUUUGGGGGGGGGAGAGUCCUCCCCCUUGGCUCGGCCGACCCCCUUGAGGGUCCUUGGACCCCAAGGCAAGGCCCCCUCCCUCCCACCUAUAUAUACGGAGGUUUUAGGGCUGAUUUGAGACGACUUUUCCACGGCAGCCCGACCACAUACCUCCACGGUUUUUCCUCUAGAUCGCGUUUCUGCGGAGCUCGGGCGGAGCCCUACUGAGACAAGGUCAUCAUCAACCUCCGGAGCACCGUCACGCUGCCGGAGAACUCUUCUACCUCUCUGUCUCUCUUGCUGGAUCAAGAAGGCCGAGAUCAUCGUCGAGAUGUACGUGUGCUGAACGCGGAGGUGCCGUCCGUUCGGUACUAGAUCGUGGGACUGAUCGCGGGAUUGUUCGCGGGGCGGAUAGAGGGACGUGAGGACGUUCCAAUACAUCAACCGCGUUCUCUAACGCUUCUGUUGUACGGUCUACAAGGGUACGUAGAUCACUCAUCCCCUCUCGUAGAUGGACAUCACCAUGAUAGGUCUUCGUGCGCGUAGGAAAAUUUUUGUUUCCCAUGCGACGUUCCCCAUCAGUACUGCUGCUGGUCAUCUGCCUGAGUUGUUGCUGCUCCUCUGCUGGAGUUGAUGCUCCUCUGCUCGAUCUACUCUGCCGCUGGUGAAGCUCUGCCCGUGGUACUGCUAUUCCUCUGCCCAUUUGCACCUGAAGAAGGUACUGAUGAAACUGUUUGUUGUUUACUGCUACCUAAAACUGCUGUUGUUUGAGAAACUGCAUUGCUUGAGAAACUUGUAAUGUUGUGGUAUCGAAAAUAAUUUUGUGCAAUACUUGUAAUGUUGUGGUAUCAAAAAUAAUUUUGUGGAGUAUCAGAAACAGAGAAGCCUGGUUCAAGGUUUUGCACUGGAAACAGAGCAGUCUGGUUCAAGGUUGUGCACUGGAAACAGAGCAAUCUGGUUCAAGGUUUUGCCUAGAUAAACCAGACCGGAUGAGAGACCAAAUACAUGGGCAAGUAGUCAAAAGAAACACAUAAUUUGCCUAGAAUCUUGUUGUCCUGUGAUGCAAGAAAAUUUCACCAUGUGUAUGUUGUGGAACGCUUACAGUUGCACAAAUCAGACAUAUCAGUAGGUUGGUUCAGGUGUUGGUUCUUGGCCUAUUAACAUAGAAAGCCCCUUUGUAACUACUAGGACAAUCAGCUUGUGUAAAGAUCAUAUUUAGAGACGAAUUGCAAGCAUUAACCUGAUCUUAACAUAUAUAAAUGGAUAUUAAGUUUUCCAUUUUAGGCGAAUACAGAUAGAGGUUUCAACUAGACCUAGUGAGAAAUGGUUCCAUGGUAGCAUUUCUUGUUUGGCUGUCGUAGCUCGAUUACAUAUUGUUUUUACGUGCGUAUAUAUUCUUGUUACAGUACCAUGGUGUACUCAUCUUUUGUCAUUGAUAGCAGGAGUAUGGAUUUGAACAUGAUACCUCAAGAGGAGGAUGAAGGUAUUAAUUUGAAUUGGAUCCCUCAAGAGGAAGAGGCUCAAGGGGGAGAGGAUGGAGGUAUGGAUUUGAACAUGAUGCCUCAAGAGGAAAAGGAUGAUGGUAUUAAUUUGAAUUGGAUCCCUCAAGACGAAGAGGAUCCAGGGGGAGAGGAUGGAGGUAUGGAUUUGAACAUGAUGCCUCAAGAGGAAGAGGAUGAAGGUAUUAAUUUGAAUUGGAUCCCUCAAGAGGAAGAGGCUCAAGAGGAAGAGGAUGAAGUUAUGAAUUGGAUACUUCAAGAAGAAGAAGAAGGUCAAGAAGGUGUACCAGGUAAACAGAAAAGAAAAGAAUUGUCAAAUAAGGAGAGGCAUGCUGUUUACUUUGCUCUGCUAGUAAUCGAGCUCAGAGAUGGAUCUGUUCAACCAAACGACAAGCUGCUAGUAUCAAUCUUGUUGAACAUACAUGUACGAUCUAUUGAGAGAAUCUGGUCGGAGCCAAAAAGCAGAUUGCCGCGGGCCAAGAAGUAGAUGUCUCCAACAAGAAGAAAGGAAGAGUUGGUCGAAAGAGAAAAGAGCUGGAUCUUGCAAGGACCUCAACAAUCCCAUUGAAUAGAAGAAGGACAAUUCGAUCUCUGGCACGGUCUCUCGGUGUGACCCGCUCAACCCUACAUCGGAGGUUCCAGUUAAAUGAGCUCAACCGCAUCACAAACACAGUCAAGACUUACCUCAAACCAGAGAACAAGAUUGCAAGAUUGAAGUUUUGUAUGUCCAUGCUCGAUGACAAUUGGAUCUCAACUUCCCAAGCUAUAUUCAAGCCAAUGACUAAUAUGGUCCAUAUAGAUGAAAAGUGGUUUGACAUGACAAGACUAAAGAACAACUACUAUGUACUUCCAGGAGAGCCUCCACCUGAGCGCACCGUGACAAACAUUAACAUCAUUGGGAAGGUAAUGUUUCUAACGGUUGUGGCCAGAUCUCGAUACAAUUAUGAUGGAGAGCUAACAUUUGACGGGAAGAUUGGUAUUUGGGCAUUCAUCAAAGAGUCUGAGGCAGUGCGAACGAGUCACAAUAGAGCAAGGGGAACGACAGUGCUGAAACCAGUGAAAGUAACGAGACCUGUGUGUAGAGAAUAUCUGAUCAAUAAGGUUAUACCAGCAAUUCAAGAUAAAUGGCCUGACGAUGAUGAGGGAGCAACAAUAUUCAUCCAACAAGAUAAUGCAAAGCCUCGCGUUCUUCCCAACGAUGAAGCUUUUCGAGAAGCUGUGGAAGAAACUGAUCUCGACAUUAAGUUGAUGCAACAACCUCCAAACAGCCCAGAUUUGAACUGUUUGGACCUCUGCUUCCACAAUUCUCUCCAGUCUCUAACCGAUUGUAGGUCACCUACAAACAUCCAGGAACUGAUACAGGGUGUGGAAGAGGAGUUUGAGAAUUAUGAUCCUCACAAGUUGUACAACAGCUUCAUCACAUUGCAAGCAGUUAUGUUUGAAAUUAUGAAAGAUCAAGGAGGAAACCAAUAUAAGUUGCCCCACUUACACAAGGAACGUCUUCAGAAUGACGGCAGAGAAAUAACAAGUGUAUAUUGUGACAGUCAGCUAGUUGCUGAUACUAGGGCCAUUCUAGAAGAAAUGCAAUAGGAAAAGGAAAGGAAGAAAAGAAGUAGUUGUAGAAAGGAAAAAAAGAAUUGAACUUAUCUGAAUUGUACUCCUUGUGUACUCCUUGUACUCCUUGUGUAUGUCUUGUGCAAUAGGAAAAUGCAAUUGGAAUCAUUUGAGAUCAAUGAUGAUACUGGUUAUCCAACAUUUCCAUCUUGUGUAUCGGAAUUCAUUUUAAUUGUUUGGACUAAUUUGUUUGAGUUUAUCUUGAGUUUAUCCAGCAUUUCCAUCUGUAUUGGAGAUCAAUGAUCUUGUGUAUUGGAAGGGUCAUGUACAUGGGGAUGUUGCCUCAAGUUUUAUUAAAUUUAUUGUUUCAGGUUUCAGUAUACAAAGAUUACUGGGGUAUUGUCUAUAGUUUGGAUAAACCAAAUAAAGUUCACAAAUCUUUAUUCCCUUUGUGCAUAAAGUUUACAAAUCCCAAGCAUAGAGUUGGGAUCAACAAAAAAAUUCUAAGCUUACAAAUCGUGAGUGCUUUCAUCUCAAAAAAAUUCUAAGCUUACAAAUCCAGAACUGGUAGCCUUCCUUAUCUCAAUUCUCUGGUACUGAUUUUUGCUCUCUUUUUUUACCUUCCUUCAACAAGUUGUUCCUUGAACUGCAGGUACUCAGGGACAGUCAACUCCUCGUCGUCUGAAUUCUCAAGUACAGUAGUACUAGUAGCUUGGUUCAGGUUGAUUCUCAAUGAUGCCCUGCACUUGACACUAAAGCCUCCAGCCUGCAGAUAUACAAACGAAAUACAGAUACAUGCAUCAGUCUGAACCUGAAGAAGAAGGAAUGCAACCUGUGAAAUGUGUGAAAUGCUCCUACCAACAGACAAUGGAUGGUUUUUUUGUUUUGAUUGGUCUUGCUCUCGGUUUGAAGAUGAAGUGGUGUUAUUUCGCUUACCGUUGAUGUUCAAGUGUAGGCUUUUGCCUGCCCAGCACCUCUUAACCAUGUCAUCUCCUUGCAGUGCGUCUGGUUCAGGCCGAGCUCCGGGAAGCGGCUGCGCAUCAGCGGCAGCAGCGUGUCCGACGUCCCCAGGUACAUGGACUGGAAGUUGGCCUCCUGUUUCUACACGAGCACCCUGAUGAAGAGGUCUUCGGGGAGAGCUGGGGCGACUUGUUGCCAUCUGGUGAGGACGUCCACGGCGCCCUGGUCGACGGACUUCGUGACGCUGAACAUUGUCACUGUCGGGGGACGGGAACGUGCUUCACCUGCCACGAGAGCACGACGCCGAAGCUCUCGCCGACGCCGUUUCCGACGCAGCCGGAGAAGACGGCGGCGGUAGGUGGAGAAAUCAUUGCUUUUUAUGAGGAAGGGGGAAGCUUGGGGAGGCAGGCGAGUCGCAACUGCGGCGGCGGAGCGGCGGGGGACCGGGGGAGCAGGGGAGUUGCGGCAGGCGGAGCUGCAGCGGGCGAGCGGCAGCUGCGGCGGGGGAGUAGGGCAGCUGCGGCGGCGAGGAGCAGGCAAGCUGUAGCGAGCGUAGAUGGGGCAUCUGUCGGAGGAGGAGGACGAGGAGCGCGGGUUUGGUCGGGAGAAGCUGUAGGGGCUUUUCGCAAAAUUACCGUCGCGACAUUAAUUUCGGGACGGAGGGAGUAGCAUCUAAUCCUUCCAAAUAACACAGAACAUACGUGUUGCACGACCCAAAUGGGGCCCGGUCAAUGACAUCAAUCCCAUAUGUCACUCUCUGCUCCUACUACCUCGCUGUCCAUUACUUCAUGGUAAAUCUGGGGACGAGGAGGACAUGGUCGUCUGUCUGGCUCUUCACCUCCCUCGGGAGCAGUGCACUCGACCACGGUUGGACUCUAACCGGUGGAAAUCCAUGGUGUCCGUUCAAAUGUCGUUUGGAUGCGCAGGGAUGAUUGCUCGAGGCGUGCGGGCGCGGCCUCGACGGACACAGUGAUCGCCGUCCAAUUCUAGUAUGAUGAUGCAACCCCUUUGGUGGUGCCUCAUCCCUACGCCCUCGGGCUCGGAGUCGAAGAUCUGCACCGGCAUGAGUUACGGUCCAUCUUCUAACAUGGAGUGGCAUACCCGUCGUGCAAGGCAAAGGCCGCGUGGCGAGACGUAGAUGCUCUAACCACAUCUAGAUGGGAUCACAUCGAUUUAUGAUAUCCCGACUUCCCGAUCAACGAGUCUCCUCUGAUCAAAACCAUGUUACCCUAAUAUGCAUGUAAAAAAGUUAGGCUAAUAUGCGCGUAAAAAAGUUGAUUAACUGCUGCUAAAAUGGUGUGAUGUGAUAAGCCGGCCCUCCCCAACAAGAAAUAAUAACAACUGCCCCCCUAUCUCUCAUAUCCAAUUUAUAUAUGAGCCGGAUAUAGCGAGGACUGGAUGCGUCCGUCAGGUUGUAUCCGGCUCACGCUGGUUCAUCCCGACCCAUAUAUAUCCGUCUCUAUCUCCAACCUGGACGAAACCCUAGCUACUCCACCCCUCUUCUUAGCUCCGUUCCGAUGAUCUCCAGCCAUCUCCGACAUUACAGGCAGCGUCCGACACGGAGUUGGGAUCUCGCCCCAUGCGGGGAUGAGGAGGACAUGGCCGUCCGGCCGGCACUUCGCCGCCCCCGGAAGGAGUGCGCUCGACCACGGUUGGACUCUAUCCGGCAAAAACCCAUGGUGUCCGUUCAAAUCUCGCUUGGAUCCGCAGGGAUGAUGGCUCGAGGCGUCCGGGCGCGGCCUUGCCGGACGCGGUGACCACCAUAAUAUUCUAACUCCGGGAUGGCGAUGCAACCCCUCCGGUUGCGCAUCAUCCCUAACAUGGAGCGGCGUACGCCGUCGUGCGAGGCAUAGGACGCGGGGGCGAGGUGUAGAUGCUCUAACCGCAUCUGGAUGAGAUCACAUCGAUUGAUGAUGUCCGGAUAAACGAGUCUCCUCAGAUCAAAACCGUGUAAUAAUCCUACAAAAUAAAGACAUCGCCCAACGUGUUCCAGAACGCUCUGAAUGAGACCCCGCGAAUGGCAACAACCAUACCAUUUAUGAGCAAGUUUUGUCAGUCCCCCCACCCGGCCAGCCCGUGACAUCGAUGUAGCAGCUUCCGUUCCUAUUUAACCAGCGUACCAUUUGCACUACAUUGCAUCACAGCAAGCACACACACACACACACUCUCUAGAGAAAUGGCGAUGGCUAGGACGACGGCGCUCCUCCUCGUCGCCGCGGCUCUCCUGGCGGCCUCAUCCAGCGCAUGGGAGGUGAACAUCCAGAUGCCGGCGUCGGCGGCCGUGGACGAUGCUGUGGCACCGCUCAUCCACGCGCUGCGGCCGCUCCUGGGCUCCGGCAAGCAAGCCGGCGUGGCGUGCGAUAGCUGGCGGCUGGGCGUGGAGGCGCACAACGUGCGGGACUGGAAGACGGUGCCCGCCAGCUGCGAGGAUUACGUCGGCCACUACAUGGUCGGCGACCACUACCGCCGGGACUCCAAGGUCGUCAUCGACCAGGCCAUCGCCUACGUCGACUCCCUCAAGCUCGCCGGCAACGGCAAGGAGGUCUGGGUCUUCGACGUCGACGAGACCACCCUCUCCAACCUCCCCUACUACGCCAAGCACGGCUUCGGGUACGU